RNAcentral lists this long non-coding RNA (54914 nucleotides) under Malus domestica (apple). RNAcentral's name for it is "long non-coding RNA (MDOM_LNC004302)". Lineage: Eukaryota; Viridiplantae; Streptophyta; Magnoliopsida; Rosales; Rosaceae. The record is from RNAcentral.
AAUGGGGUUUGCAAUACAUCCUUCAAGGCAUUAAACCACGGACCUUCGAGGAAUUGGCCACUCGUGCCCAUGACAUGGAGUUGAGCAUCGCCCAUCAUGGGAAGAAAGAACCGAUCGCCGACUACAAGAACGACAAAGUUGUUGGGCCAAAGGAGGAGAAGACUGCGUGGAAACCCACCAAAGAGACAAUGACGGUUAACACAACUCCCGUCAAAAUCUCCACACGAGGCAAGGCGAUUCAAACCGAAGCUUUUCGUGAUCAAGAGAUGCGUAGACGCACUUUGAAGGAGCUUGAGGAGAAGAUUUAUCCGUUCCUCAACUCUGAUGUGGUUGCCAUGCUGGAUGACCUGUUGGACAAGAAGGUGAUCAGUUUGCCUGAGUGCAGACGACCGGAAGAGAUGAAUCGUACCGACAGCCCAAGAUACUGUAAAUUCCACCACUUUAUCAGCCAUCCGACAUAAAAGUGCUUCGUGCUGAAAGAUCUCAUCAUAAAGCUGGCUCAGAAAGGAAUCAUCGAGCUAGAUCUUGACGAUGUGGUGAAGUCAAACUAUACCACCAUCACUUUUGGCUCUUCCGACUCAAAGUUUUCACUUCAACCACUGGGGGCAUCCUCCAAGAUAAGCAAAGUUGAAGGAUUGACUCAAGUCACUCCUAAGAAAUUGCACAAGAAGCAUACGUCUCCUCCACAAGUCCGCCAAUCGGAAAUGGGGCAAAGCAGCUCUUGUCAACCUUCAAAGCAACGUGAACGUGUUGAAGAUGAUGAAAUUUCGACAUAUAGAUCGUCCAUCCCCAUCACGAUGCGUGAUUUCUUGCCCGAAGACUUCUUCAAUCACUCGGUCAAGGCUCCUUGCUAUGAAGAUUAUGAGGAACGCCUCUCCAAAAUUGCUUGACAAAUUCACCAAUGCUCCUUGUUCGCACGAGCCUAAACUGCAUGGCACAAUGCUCCUGGUCUGCACGAGCAUAAAAGGCAACACCAACGCUCCUGGUCUGCACGAGCAUAAAAGGCGACAACCCAACGCUCUUUGCCUGCACGAGCUGAAACUGCAACAUGGCACCAAAUGCUCCUUGCCUGCACGAGCUGAAACUGCAACACGGCACCAAAUGCUCCUUGUUCGCACGAACCAAAGCUCAUUGUCUACACGAGCCUAAACUGUAGGACACGAGGCUCCUCGCCUGCACGAGCCUAAAACUGCAAACGGCACAAAAAAAGAAAAUACCAAAAAAAAUAUAUGUAUGUAUUCGAACUACGUUAAGACUUGAUCUCUUCUUUGGAAGGGUACGUAGGCAGCUUGAAUAUUCAAUUUCGAGUUCAGUCACAUUAAAAUAAAAAAUAAGGGUUUUAUUAAUGAAAGUCAAUUUCAUUACAAAAAAAAAAAAAAAAAAAAAAAGAAUACAUAUGUGAUUACUAUGUACUUAAAAAAAUUACAUAUAUUAAAAAAAAUUAUAUAUAUAUAUAAGUAAAUAAAUAAAAAAGGAAGUGGAUGGAUCAAAGUUCUUGGGCUAGAAAAUCUAGAAGGUUCAGCAAUCAUUUAAUUGGGGCUUGAAAUCGUGAUGAGCCCAGCCACAAAUCCAGCUCCCCAAGUCUCUCUCUCAACUCAUUUCUCCUCAGCCCAUCAAUUAAAGUCCAAGCUCAGCGGCAGAGUCGGCCUGAUCAUUCAGAACAGUCCCAGCUCUCCCUCAUCUCCUCAUUGUUGUUGAAGAUGAUCAAAUCUACCUAGCCGUGGUAAAUUAAAGAAGAAAUAGAGGAACAAUGGCUUCCUCUAUGGUUCCGUCCGCCGCGGAGAUUAGGACCCUCACGAUCUCCUCCGACAACCGCCCCAUGAUUCUCUUCGAGAAGUUCGGGUUCACCCACAUCGGUCACGUGAGCAUCCGGGUCUUGCACGUGUCCGUCACCUCCAAGCACCCCGAUAUCGAUCCCUCCCGCUUCGGCUUCUUCCUCCUCUCCGAGAGUCCCUCCUCCAGGUCCUCGUCGAGAUCCAGCAGAACCCCCAGCUCUGCGUCUUGGACUCCCGCUACAUCACCCACCUCUUCAAUUUCAAGGAGCUCUCACCGCCGCCGCAAGCUUCCUUCAACCACUCCUACCCAGUCUCCGCCCCCAACGAAUACAGCCUCUUCUUCGCCAAUUGCGUGCCGGAGACCACCGUAUCCAUGAUCGUAUGGACGGAGGUCUACAAUCUUGACCCGGAUGGUUCCCGCGACUACCUUUCGGCCGGGUUGACCAACCUGCCAUCGCUGUUUUCGGUCUUUUUUCUCGCGUAUUUGGUGUUUGUGGGCUUCUGGGUCUACCUCUGCUACACCAACAAGAGAUCCGUGCACCGCAUCCAUCUUCUGAUGGGCGGAUUGCUUUUGAUGAAGGCGUUGAAUCUGAUUUGCACGACGGAGGACAAGCACUGCGUGAAGGGGAAGAAGAAGUUCAUGAAGCAGAUGACCCACGGGUCCAAGAGCCACAGAGCUCUCGGGUCUAUCGGUGCCGGAACCACGCCGGGGCGGGUUUACAAGGGGAAGAAGAUGCCCGGGAGAAUGGGAGGAACCAAGACCAAGAUUAGGAAGCUGAAGAUUGUGAAGAUCGAUAAGGAGCUCAAUGUUGUGAUGAUCAAAGGCGCUCUGCCUGGGUUGCCAAAUCAAGAAGAAAUAUUUUCUAUUUCACCCUAUUCCGAUGAUGAAGAAAAACAGCCCUCAAUUAUUAAAGAAUGAGUAUGGGCGUCCGUUGAAAUUAUCUCUGAAGAGGGUUGUGGGAUGCGACGCGGCAGGAAGCAAGCCGAGCUCCAAAUGGUACAGAGCGCACAUGGUGUUGACGGUGCUGACGGUGGUUCCAAGGGUCGUAGGCGGUGCUAGUAUUCACGAGGGUUUCCUCCUGCAAUUCUCCCGUCAACGCCUCCACCUCUACAGCACCGAGACUCUUCCUCUGGUCAACGAGCAGCAGCCAAGCCGCCUCGUCAUCCUCAUCUCUGUCAAGUUCCAUCCCUGCAAAUUCCUCAAACCCGUCCUCCAAAUUUAUACAAAAAAAAAUAUAAUAAAAAAUAUAUGGUGCAGAUUGCACCAUCUGAAAAGAAUAAAAAAAUAAUAAUAUAAAAAAAUAAAAAAAUAAAAGGGGAUGGUGCGGAUUGCACCAUCUGAAAAGAAAAAUAUAUAAUAAUAAAAUAAUAUAAAAAUAAAAAAAAUAAAAAUAUAUAAAAAAAAUAUAAAAAAAAAUAAAUGGUGCGGAUUGCACCAUCUAAAAGAAAAUAUAUAUAUAUAUAAAAUAAAAAUAAAUAAAUAAAUAAAAAAUUUAAAUAAUAAUAAUAAUAAUAAUAAAAUAAAAUAAAAAAAGAGAAAUGCAUUGAGAGAUAGAAGUCCAUUUUAUUUUUGGAAAUUUUACAUAAAUUUGCAUUAUACAUACCUAAAAAAAAAAAUCAAUCAAAUCGAAUUUACAAGAGGCAAUCUUCAAGGACGAUCAAGUAGCGCCUCACCACUCGGCAGAGCUCUAGGAAGAAGAUGCGCCGGAGGUUGACUGUUUGAAGCCUCAUCACUCGGCGGAACCCCAGGAGGAGGAGGCACCAAAGGUUGAUCAUUUGGUGCUUCAUUACGCGGUACAGCCCCAGAAGACGAAGGCAAAUGCUGCUGGAACAAACCCACAAACCUCUGAUGAUUAAGUAAAAUCUGACCAUCAGAUUCCUGCAUCUGGUCAAUCUUCCUCUUCAUGUUUGUCGCAUAGCUAUGUGCGAGCUUAUGCAAUUGUUUAUUCUCCUGCUUGAGCCCUCUAAUCUCCUGCUUGAGACUUAUCACUUCCGCCGCCAAUGAUUCAACUUGACGGGUUCGAGCAAAUAGGCGUUGGGCCAUAUUAGACACAGAACCUGCACACUGCACACUGAGAGCCAGAGAAUCCUUAACAGCCAACUCAUCAGACUGUUUGGAAAGUAGUCUGUUAUCUCUGGGAGUGACAAGGUUCCGGGCCACCACCGCAGCGGUCAUAUCAUUCUUCACUACUAAAUCCCCAACGGUAAGAGGACCAGUAGGGGAUAUGAAGGAUGAGCGUCAUAUGUUGUCUGGAGAAGAAGGGAUUGCCUCUUCACCAAGGUUCAAAUCAAAACGACGAUCGGAGGGGCCAUACAUUUUCAAAAUGUUGAAGAAAGAAAAGAUCAGACAAAUCAAGAUCUUAGAAGUGCAAGAAUGGAGUUUUCACAAGCGAAAAUUCAAUUGUGCUUUGAAACGAACAACGUGCCUCUAUAAAAAAUCAGCACUCGACGGGAUUUCAGAGAUCGAAGAGGCGAGCUCAGAAUUCGAAGGGGCCAAUUCAAGUAUUGAAGAGGUGCUAGCUUUCUCAAAAGCUGGGCUUGCUAAAAAAGACACGGGCGAUUUUACUUUCCAGACUUGUCCGCACUUGUCACAUGCAACCUCUACACUCGACAAAGCUCAGAAAUCGGAGAGGCAUCUUGCUUUUCCAGACGCGUCAGCACCCAUUACACGCAAACUCAACUUUGCGGAAGUCACGGGUAAUUUGUCGAAGCGCCGAUCCCAGAUAUCGAAGAGGCGCCAGUCUUUUUCAACCGCGUCAACACCUGUUAUAUGCACACUCAGCUUUGCGUAAGUCACGGGCAAUUUGUCGAAGAUUUUCGGUGAAGGAGAAAACACGUGAAGUUUACUGUUCAAUCAUCCAACGGUUGUCGACACGAGUGAAAAAAUAAUACCUCUACAGGUAUUAAGGAACUUCCUAUAACUGUCCACCUUCACCCUUCAUAACAAUGCAAACAUACAGAACCUUUCUUCAUCUCCAAAAAAAUGCUUUCCCAACGAAACCUCUCGAGUCAUUCAAUGUUCCUUAUUCCUUGGGGUACCUCUGCAAGCCAAUGACUCCAAAGUAAAAGUAUCUCAUAUCACCAGGGUAGAAAGCAAAAGUAUCUCAUAUCAUGCGUUCUCCCUAUCCUUUCCUUUGUCCUUGUUCCUACCUACAAAGACAAGGAUAAAGAAAACAAUAUGCCGGAACUUCCACUCAAACUCGGGUAAGAAACCGACUGCUUGGAACCUUUCCCUGAGUGCCUGCCUAGCACUGCUCUCGAGUACUCGUCUUCCACUGCUGCUGUACUUUCAAAGAAGCUACCAUAUCUGCCUGGAGAACAGAUAAGGCAAGUGAAAAUGAUACCUUGCAGCAUGUGGAGACAAGGUGCAGAAGGAACAAGCAGAGAAGAAUGCGUUCUGCACAGUCAACUCAGCAGAAGAAGUCCGAGCUGAAGAACUCGAGAAGCUGCCACAUCUGCCUGAAGAAACAAGCAGAGAAGAAUGCAGCAUGCACAGUCAACUCAGCAGAAAGAGUCUGAGAUAAAGAACUUAAGAAGAUGCCACAUCUGCCUGAGGAACAGAUAAAGCAAGGGAAAAUAAUACAUUGAAGCAUGUGGAGACAAGCACAACAAAGCACGUGCCGAUUCAUCCGCUGCUUCUUCAAAAUCAAAAGUAUCUCAUAUCAUCAGGGUUGCAAUCACUCUGGACGGUGAACUCGUUUUGACCCUGAAAUUCUUGGGUCGACUUACUAGGUGUUGUGGGAUGCACGUGCCGAUUCACCACCCUUGAAUCGAAUCCUUAAAGAUCAAGUCACCAACUGGAAGAAAGCCCCAUCAAUCUUGAAGAUCAUACCGUUGACCAAACUGCUCAGGUGUGAAUUAGAAAGAUUGAACAAAGAAACAGGUUGUCACCUUUACCUCGUGCCUGCUUGCCAUGUGUUCGAGUCAACCUUUAAGAAUCAAGCCUCAACGGCCCUUGAAGAAGUUUCCAACCAAAUUCAAGAUCAAGCCUCGACGGCCCUUGAGGAAAUCACAAGUCCAAUUCAAGAUUAAGUGUCUACCACCAUUGAAUCAAAACCUAGUUCAAGAAUAAGUUGUGGAAAAUCAACAAUUGGAGGAAUCCAGAAAAUCCUCCAACCCAGUUCAAGAUCAAAGCUGUGGAAAGUCAACAAGCGCAACAAAAUAUGUGCCGAUUCACCCACUACCAAAGCCAAAGAUCAUCUACCACAUGAAGCUCCUUGUGGUCCAAUUUCAACCUUCAAGAUCAAGCCUCGACAGCCCUUGAAGAAAUUUCAAACAAAAGUUCAAGAACAAGCCUUAACGGCCCUUGAAGAAAUCUCAAGCCCAAUUCAAGAUCAAGCUUCAAUGGCCCUUGAAGAAAUCUCCAGCCUAAUUCAAGAUCAAGCCUCGACGGCCCUUGGAUUGACAUCUACAGUAAAGGACUUCAAAACGCAUCUCCUACACGUGACAAGCACAUGUAUACGACGCGCCUUGAAGUGGGGGCAUUUGUAGACAUCGAAAUUUCGGUAAAUAAAUGUUGACCGAUAAAUCAAAGUGUCAACGCUCAUGUAUUACAUAAAUUUUACACGUAGCGUGUGACUCAACGAAAAUUGAAAUGAGUUGGAAAAGUCAUCAAAUAGGACACGUGUCAACACCUGGCAGAAACGACUUAUUUCAUCUGGGAUAUUAUAUUCAAAAUUAGGCCUUGGAAAAUUCUAUAAAUACAAGCCCAUUUCAUUCAUUUGAGGGGGAACCAAAAUCAUUAGGCAAAAUUCUUAAAGCUCUGAAGUUCUGAAACUCUAAAACUCCGAAGCUCUCAAGCAUCCAGGUUCCCGAAGAAUCAAGAAAUCUCUCUUCGUUCUUCGUUCAUCGUUCUUCGUUCAUCGUUCUUCCAAGAUCAAGCCCCAACGGCCCUUUGGAUCAACAAUCAUCCACCACUUCAAGAUCAAGCCCCAACGGCCCUUGAAGAAAGUGUUCUUCGUUCUUCGUUCUUCGUUCAUCGUUCUUCCAAGAUCAAGCCCCAACGGCCCUUGAAGAACUUCCACCAAUUCAAGAUCAAGCCCCGACAGCCCUUGAAGAAAGUAUUCAUCGUUCAUCAUCCGUUCAUCCAAGAUCAAGCCCCAACAGCCCUUUGGAUCAACAAACGUCGACAAAUCCACACAUCCAACCGUUCUUCAAGAUUAAGCCCAAAAGCCCUUGAAGAUCCGUUCAUCACUGUUCUUCAAGAUCAAGCCCAAAAGCCCUUGAAGACCCGUUCAUCAUCGUUAUUCAAGAUCAAGCAUUAACGGCCCUUGAAGAAAUACUCAUCAAACCCCAACGGCUUAUUGAAGAUCCGCUCAAAUCCACCUUCAAAGAUCAAGCCCACGGCCCCUUGAAAGAAACUUCCAAUAGUUCAUCCAAGAUCAAGCCUCGACAGCCCUUGGAUCAACGAAACAUCCACAAAUCAACGCCUUACGGAGAUCGAAUCAGAGGAUCAAAAUUGAGAGAGAUUGUAACCCAAAAUCAUCAAAUACAUAAUAUUUGUUUGUGCACGUUGUUCUUGUCUCUUUCGUUUCAGGAAUUUUCCGUGUUUACAGUCAUUUACGCUUUAUUCUUCUUACUGAAUUUCAUUUUUAAAAUUUUAUUUUUUGAAAACAUGAUCAUCUGGCGGAUGUAAGAAGAUGAUAUCAUGUUUCUAUAUUUACGGUUAACUGAAAUAUGAGUCAAUGUCAUAUAAUUUGUAGAAACUUUAUAAACAUCAAGCAAUAUUUUCACUAACCGUAAAACUCUAAAUAUAAUAUCAACGAUCCAAACCGUUCAUCUACCUACACCCUCUAAUAGAUCAUGUUUUCAAAAAUGAAAAUCUAAAAAAACGAAAUUUGAUAAGAACAAUGAAGCAUAAAUGUAAACAACAAUCAACGGUUAAAUUUUGAUCUAUGAAUUAUAUGAUUAUAGUAGCGAAUUUCGAAGUUAAGCUCUUCAUAAAAGUUAUAAAGCUUAUCAUUAAGAGUGUUUAUAUAUUUUUUUCUAUAUUUUUUUACACUUCUACAUUAAUUAAAAAACUAUUAAAGACUUUAGGUAAGCGAAAAUAUACUUCAAACAAAAUUGUGUUUUUAUGUUUUGGAUGUGAUAAUAUGGAAUGUAUAUACUUAUUUAGUAUUAUGUUUUUCAUUUGAUUAUUUAUUGGUUUAAAAUAUAUUUUUCUUAACGGGUAACGGGUCAGGUCAUAUUACCUGUUAAUAUUAUCGGGUCGAUUUCGGGUCGGGUCAUUUUACCCGUUUAUUUUAACGGGUGUUACACGACACGACCCGUUAAGAUAUCAGAUAUGACACGAAAACGACACGAACACGGAAAACACGAUACGAAUGCCAAGUCUAAUAUAUAUAUAUAUAUGUAUAUGUAUAUGCUUAUAUCUUAAUUAUGGGAAAAUUUUACAUGUUUUACAGCAAGGGGUUAGUAUGUUGAUAAAUGAAAUGGUUUUGUAAAACAUUUGUUUUUGCCCACUCACGUUUUCUAUUUUGCGCCCCUUUAGGUUUUAAGUAAGCUUGUUGUUGGUGGCUUGAGGAUGUUGGCAGUUCUGACUUAUCUAAAUAAUAGUAGGACAUUUCUGGUACUGUAUAACUAGUACUUGUCCUACUGGACUACACCUAAACUUUAUGCUCUGAUUAGGAGUGUUCACUGUUGUAACUAACACUAUCACUUUCUGUUUAGUAGUACACUCUAGUAAUUUGGUUUUUAAUUAUUCGUAUAUUUCUUAUCUUUAUUGCUUCAGCACUACGCACAUGGCUACGUCACUCUCACGUGACGUCCAGCAUGCCUUGAUCUCGGUCGGGGUGUGUCAGUGAAUGUUCAUGCUAUCAGGGUUGCAAAAAUAUCAAGAUAAAAACCUUUGUUUUGGAAGAACCUGAUUACGUGAUGAUAUAGAUGAACUGGUUUGUUGCAAAAAAAGCUUCAUUGUUAGAUUCUUAAGUGCAGCAGUAAGAGCGUGUUGUAGCUUAUUUUAUCUCACUACAGGGUAUGGGCAAUGGCAGGGAGAGACGUGUUUGUAGAAUCAUAGGGGAAUGUGUGUUGAGAAUGUGUUAUCUCCCUACGCAGUGCUUUUAUUUAUAGUAAUAAGAGGAAGAAUAAUUCCUUCAUCCCUAAGUAAUACAAAUCCAUAUAGGAAAGAAUAACUAAAAUAAAAUCUAAUCUAGGAUUUACACAAUCACACUUAAAUUAGGAAAGUUUAUAACACCAUCUAAAUUCUAAUAAUUAAUUAUACUUUUUUUUUAAACUAAUUAAAAGGGUUUGAAAAUUUUGAGUUUUAACGAUAUAAAGUGAAUAGUACCAAGAUUAAUUUUUUAGUGUAAAAAUGUGGUUUUUCGUUAAAGUGAACAGUACUAGAAACUUUUCUUUAAAGUUCCUUUUUUUUUUUUUUUUGAUUUUUUUGAUUGGAAAAAUAAAAAAAAUAAAAAAGGUGGAGGAGGGUGCAUCAUGCAGUGGCACGUGACUUCACACGAACGUCUUCCAGGAACUCAGGAAUUAAGCAUACAGACAAUCGCCGAAAGGUCUUCAAUUUGGGGUCACAUGAGUUAACUACGUCCGUCCGAUCAACAUACUUUUCUUGUUCCAACAAUCCAGCCGUAAAUAAUUAAACGCCACCAUAGCAUCGUACACCUGAAGCAACACCGUAAUAUAUCUCCUCUUGGCGAGCCGGAAGAGCAAGUGUCUUUGUUCUUCGCUGGAAAUAUUUUUCUAUUCAUUUUCUUUUCCGAAUUCCGAUUAUCCAAACGGGAGCGAGGAAGAAGAAUCCGUCGGACAAAAUCUCACUGACCGGAGCAUCCAAUCCAAAUGGCGGUUUCCGUGACGGCGUCCACGAUUCCUUCUCUCAGCUCUGACCGUACGACUCGCUUAGCUGCGGCGGCGGCCUCAUCCUCCUCCUCUUCUUCUUGUUCAAAGCUGUCUUCCUCUACUUCUCUGCGAUUUCCGGCGCAGCUUCGACGUGUUCGGAUCGGAACUCAGGACUCACGGCCUCGGCUUCUUCCUCCGGUAAUGAAUUUUCCGUUUUUGUAGUUUCGUAGUCUGUUUGUUUCCCGAGAAAAUCGAGGAAUUUAACCUGAUGAAAUUGUGUAGCGUUAAAAUUCCUGUUCUAAAAUUUCUGUGUUUUGUAGUGGAAGAGAUUGCAAAAUUUAAAUUUAGGAAGCAAAGCAUACAACUGCAAAUCUUGUUGUUAUCAUAUUUAUGGCCCAAACACCAAUUGCUUUGUAUUUCUUUGGUCCUUGCCGUUUCCUAUGAGUUGUGAGAAAAUCACAUGGGUCGGUUUUCGGAGUUUCCAAAUUUUAGUCUUUUCAAGAGAAUAAAGACAUUUAAUCGAAAAGUGCAGGAAAAGUAAACUCAGAGGAUGGUUUGCAAGACAUAGAUUUAGCAUGCUACAGGAGGCAUGUGGAAUAUAGAGCUUAAGGACAUGGAACUCACUAUUGAUUGUCUUUGAAAUGGUUUUGUACUUGAUUUUGGCGCACGCAGUUGAUUUUUUAGACUAUCGGUAAACUAAUUUGGAAUCAAACCUCUCUCAAACAAUUAGAAUGCACAAUGUCACCGAUAUAGGAUAUUAGGUUGCAUCAGUUUGAUCUUCCCCCAUUUUCCAGGUAAAGUACCUUUUCAUGAUAACCGUUUGGGGCAUAAAGUUGGGAAGGGACAACCUAGAACCAAAAUUAUUGAAUGGGAUGAAAGGUGUAGAUUGUAAAACUUGGAUAGUAUAUCUUGUAACGAUUUGAAUGAUAGAGACAGUGAGCAAAUCCAUAUUCGGGGCCUUCAUGCAUGGACUCGAGUGUUCUUUAAUCAUCUAAUCAGAAGCCGAUUGUUUAUACCAGUCAAUCGACGGUCCUCCUAUCACUACUGGCUUUGCCUCAAGUUACAAGUGAAGUUUCAAUUCAGGAUGAUGACCUAUCAUGUUGAAGAUCAACACCAGCCCAAUUGGUGUUUGGAUUCUAGAAGAUUCUAGCAGCAAGUCUAGAGGGCAGAGCUUCCUGAAGACUUGCACUUUGUCCAGGUGCAAUGGAACUAGAUUUUUCUAUAGAAUUAUCUAAAGCUAAGUAGUCUUUUGUAGAAAGGAUUAGAAGGAUGUUUCUUAUGUCGGUGGAAGGCUGUGUGCAUGAUCAAUGCACUAGAAAGUUCUAGUGAUAGUAUAAGUCGGCAAACAUGCCUUAUAAAUAUGUAUGUAUGAGUGUUGUAAUGUAACCAAGAAGAAGUAAGAGAGCAAACCAAGAGAGAGCUAAGUAAGAGAGUGAGAAGCCUUGUAAGUGAGUAGUCUUGUAAAGAGUGUGAGUGGUCUAGAGUUUGUCUCUAGAAGUGAGAGAGUGUCAUACGUUCUAAAUUGUGUCCUUGAUAGUUGUUGUGUUGUAAUAUUCUGUGAGUUAAUACAAGUAAUUUGUUUACUUGUUUUGUCUCUCCAACACUUGUGUUAGAGCUGUGUAUUCUAGUUUUUCCUCAACAUAUCACUUAGGUGGUUAUCCAUAUGGACCAUGUUGUGACAGUUUCAAUAGCUGCGUGUACUCUUUCUUUGCUGUCUUUGGAAUAUUUAGCCUGUAUAGCUGAAUUACGAAGUGUGACUGAAUUGGUGAUUCAGUAAUUACAUGUAUAUGUGGAAAAAAAAUUACUUUUCGUAGGUUGAAGCAAAGAAGCAAACAUUUUCAUCCUUCCAAGAUUUGCUGGCUACCUCUGAAAAACCUGUGUUGGUUGACUUCUAUGCAACCUGGUAAGCUUUUCUUGUGUAUCUCACUUCUUAUUUUGUUUGCAAUUUGUCAUUAUUGUUGUAUUGUCAGCUAAACUUUAAUUCCUAAACAAGGUGGUAGCUAUUCACCUUUUAGGUUUUCCCUCUCUAUAUAAAGGUAAGAAUAGACAAUUAAGUAAUAAACUCUGGUUGACAGGUGUGGACCUUGUCAAUUUAUGGCACCCAUCCUCAAUGAAGUCAGUAUUACGCUGAAUGACAAGAUCCAGGUUGUGAAAAUUGACACAGAGAAGUAUCCUAGCAUUGCUGAUAAAUAUAACAUACAAGCAUUGCCUACUUUCAUCAUAUUUAAGGAUGGAGAGCCAUUUGACCGCUUUGUAAGUUGAAUUUGUUCUCUUUUUUCCUUUGGGAGAUUAAUAUGUUUGCCUUUGGUAGACGAUCAAAUGUCUAGAAAUGUGUAAUCUGUCACAUAACAUCUCAUACUGAUUGCAUGCUUUUUAUACGGCCAGAAUAUGGACGGGUAUUGUCAAGUUGUUACGAUUUGCUGUUAAUUCCACUUUUUAGAUUUUGUAAGAUAUCCUAUGCACUUGCAUUGGUUUACAAUUUCGUCAGGUGUGUUGCUUUGCAUGCUUUUCUUCUUCUUUUGCUUAGUUUUGAUUCGAAGAUGUUGAAUUUUAAGGAUUUAUGUUCUCUUAGAUCCAAAAUAUUAAAUAGAAUAAAUAAUGUAUGUUCUCCGUGCAUGUAUGCAAGGCACUGUUAGAUUAGUUUUGGCGGUUUUUCUUUUUGGUUUUUUGGUCGAUUUUAAAUAUCUAUGAUGACUUUGCUUUCAUUACUUGCAGGAGGGUGCUAUGACUGCUGAUCAGCUUGUCGAACGAAUAGAAACUACUUUGAAAGUUAAGUAGGAGACAGGUGAGCUCUAUAAUAUUCGUGAGUUGAGAGCACUCGUAUCGUCCGCUGUUCUUUCUCUGCUUCCUCCUCCCCAUUUCCUAACCUUUCCUUUUUCUUCACUCUUCAUUUAUUGGUCCAGCUUCUCAGGUUGAACCGAGAAGCUGAUCGAUUCAGCCGCAUUGCAAGAAAAAUGGAUUUUAUGAAGAAAGGCACUGGAUGUUUCCUCUGCUUUUUUAUUUUUUGUAUGUAACUGGUUUGUACCAACAAAAAAGUUACGAGACUUGGCGUAAUCGCACGGGUAAAGCUUAGUGAAAACAAUUUUACGAUGUCAGUUUCUGUUGUGAUAUACACAUCCACAUCAGUUGCAUUUGAUUGAAAUUCAUGAUUUGGAAAAGUUAAUGAAAUUUUGUGGACAUUCAUUUCAUUUGCAAUGCAACUUAGACCUUAUUGGCAAUUGGUUUGUGGACACAAGAUUUACUACUUAAUUUGGAUACCUUGUCAAAUUAGAGUCAAUAAUUAACAAUGGCAUAUCUAGUAAGAAGUUAUUUCUGCAUGCCUCCCUUCCCAUUUCCUACGGCUGUUUAGCUUGCAAGCACACAAAUCAUUUGUAAUAAAGAUAUGCAAAUACGAGAUCAAAUUCAUCGAGAUUGAAUGAACAAUAAUUUGGUAUCUUAUGUUUAGCUGCGGACAUGACUGACCUCAGGAGGUCUCAAUGGAAAAAAUUUCAGAAAAAAUGUAGACAAAAGUAACAUUGAGGAAUUAAAUGAUAAUUCUUUUCAUUCGUAAAUAAUAGUGUAAACAAUGUUAUUACAAUCUACAAAGUCCAAAAUUAUCAUCGACGAGUUUUCAUAUUUUGAAAAUGUUUAUGAUAGUUUCAUACUCAACGAUCAAUCCACAACUCUAAUAACUGAAAUUUGAGAAUAAUGAGUACAAAUAGUGAACUUGAUACACUAGGAAGCUUAAGGAGGUCCCAGAAAGUCCAUAUUCGGGGCCUUCAUGCAUGGACUCGAGUGUUUCUUAAUCAUCUAAUCAGAAGCCGAUUGUUUAUACCAGUCAAUCGACGUCCCAGAAAGUCCGCUCUUCUGCUUCGACGUUGCUGAACCCGCUCUACCAUGGAGACGGCUCCCUCCUCGUCUUCCUACCCAUGGCACGGGUUUAGUCCUCCUUGAUGGUCAGCUAAUGUUCACCUAAGCUUUCGCACUUAGUAAACAAGCCUUCACUAGUUGCCUGGAACAUAACUACUAUUACUAUGAUGAUUAUUACGCCGACCACCACGGCGUUUAUAAUGCUUCUGGUUCUAAUUGGGGUGUAGUAGCCUGUCAACUGUCCAGUACCGAUUCCGAUGACUUCGGAACUUGGAUUAAGCCCAUCCAAAUUCUGGAGCCAAGGUUGCCGAGUGAAUUUUGGGGGCGAUGCACACUUAUAGCUUUGCUCAUCUAGGAGGUUCAAAAGUAUGCUUUGUUCUUUCCAAUCCCAUCUCGCACCCAAAAAAAAUUUGUCUUUGGAAGGUGCGUCUUCUUGUUCAAACUUUUGAGUUUUCCUUCUCCAAACAAAGUACCACCCUCACUAGUGCUGCUUUAUUUUAUUGUUUUUUAUUUUUUGUUUUUUUUGGAAAACCUUAAUGGUAUAAGGGUAAUUUUAUUGAUAACAAAAAAAUAAGUUACACCUAGACAGAAGGGGACAUAAACCUUACCCCUCAUAAAACAGAGACAAUAAAUAGGAAUACACGAAAAAGAAGGGGGAACAUAAACCUUACCCUUCUAGAAAUAAAAAACGAGAAUGAUACAAAGAAAAGAGGGGGGGGACAUGAAACAUAAUCCCUCUAAAACCAAACCUAAAGGUCUAAACUUGCAAAACAAGUCAAACAACCCCAUAAAGUUAGGAGAAAAAAAAAAGUGAGACAAACCUGGAUGCCGACAUGCACAUUAAUUUGAGAAGCAAUAACCAGGCAAGCCAACAUAGUCUGAAAACAAAGCAGCACAAACCGCCAUCGGAGGAGAAUCAUGCCAAGUUAAAGAUGGAGAAGACAAUCCCAUGUUAGCAAAAUUGUCUGCAACAAGAUUUACUUCACGAUGUACAUGAGAUACAUAGAAAGUCAUUUUCCGAAUACGAUCUAAACAAAUAGACCAUUGCGUAUGAAGAGGCCAAGGAGGAUCAAAAUUAGACGAUUGAAGAGCAUAAAUAACACUAGAACUAUUACUUUCAAACCAAAGACAAUGCCAACCCUAUUGAUAUGCAAACUCAAUACUAAUAAUAAUUGCUAAUAACUCUGCAAAAAAAAAAAAAAAAGUUGCGAUGACCAAUGCAUUGACAGAAACCUCCAAGAAAACAACCAUGACAAUUCCUGAAAAAUCCUCCACAUGUAGCAGGAUCAGAAUUUCCUUUAGACAAACCAUCUGUAUUAAGCUUAAACCAAGGAAACCAAAGGACAGGAAGAAUAGUAGGUGCCUUGCGAGGGAUAGGUUGGAUCCCCAAAGAAGAAAUGAUCCGAGUGUCAAAACCUUGAGAAUAACCAGAAAUAAACUUCCCACCAUGAACAAUCGCCGAAUUGAUAGAAAUGCAAAAGACGAUGAAAAUAGAUUGGACGACCCUAAAAAAUAAAUUUAUUUUGAGCCUUCUAAAUAGCUGAAAUAGUAGAAAGACCCGCAAAAAUCCAUAGAUUGUGCAACUGUUUGGAAAAUGGCUUACAGACAUAGACAUCCCAAAAAACAACCAAAGAAUCUGAAAGAGGCAAAAAUGUACCAAAUUAACAUACUAACCACCUCCAAAGUUGCCUAGAUAUCUGACAUCCAAUGCUGCCGAUGAUGGUGAUGAUUAUAAUUAUAAUGAUGGAGGCUGCGAUUCAAAAAGAUCAUUCGAUUUCUCCUCUUUCAAAGCCGACAUCCUCUCCACUCGCAACUUUGAAUACGAUUGGUGCGGAGAAUCUUUUGAGACUGCUCACGCAGCCGUGCUUGGUUGCUUUGCCCUGUAAGUUUCGUCGGUAAGGUUAACUUUCCAAUUCUAUCCCAUUUUCUGUAUUUGCUUUCUCCUGCGUGCGGCCUUAACUUGUAACUGUACUACGUAGGAAAGCAUUAGUCAAUGUAUUUCCUGUGCACACACUAUCACUUGAGGAACAAGUUCGACUGCAUUGUUUGCGAUUUAAGUCAAUCUAGACCCUGCAUUGCAACUCGCAUUGGGUCUUACUGGAACUACUUACAGCGAGCAUGCAAAACCCCCUGCGUGUUGAUUGAGGUUCUGAGGGGGAACACUCCAUCAAGCACGUUGAAGAUAUGGUCUGUAGCAGCAUUGCUUGGAAAUUGGAAAUUGGAGAUCUGCCUAGCUAGCUACUAUUUCUGUGUCUAGCUCCUCAUGUAGUUUUCUGUUAGGUAAUUUUUUUUUUUUUUUAAAUGGAAGAACAGGCAUUUUAUUAAAUAAAAAAAAAUAUUUAGUCAUAUUUUUAGGCUUAUUAUAUUUAUACCCUACAUAUUGUUGAAUAAACCUUAUAUACUUAAUACACCUCAUAUUUACUUUUUCAAUUAAAAUUUAUCUUAAUACACCCCAUUUACUUUCCCAUAUUACCCUCCCACCCCCAUUCUCAACAUACACCUUACAUUUUCUAUAUACACCCCAAAUUUUUUAUAACUCAGUCACAAUCAAGAUUGGAGGAAGAUAAGGCUGCUGAGACUUUGUUGAAGGUGGCAGACGAGGUUAUACGCUGAGGUUUAAUGACAAAAAUUCGAGGGUAAAAGCAGCAAGGGAAAGGAGAACAAUUAGAGGGUCUCUUGUAAUGUGAAUGGCACUAGGACUUUGCCCAGAUUGGCAAAAACGUAGCUGAAUGUUGAUGUAGUUUUAUUGCAUUUUCAGAUGUAUGAAAAAAAAAAACAUAUUUAUUUAUUGGUGUUGAAUUGCAGAACAAAGAUUGUGUUUAGCCAUUUUAUUACUAUUAUCAUUUCUUUAAAUUGGGGUUAUGCCGUGAGAUGAUAUACAUAAGGAAAUAUUGUUAAUUUCUUCGCACUCCAUUCAAGUUCUAACCUUGUAGUUUCAUCAUUUUGCUUGCCUUUGCUGGGAAGACAAAAAAAAUAGAUAAAUAAUACGUUAAAAGUGAUUUGAGGUUUAUUCAGAAUUUUUUUAUAUUUUUAAAAAACUAAUAAGGUCAAAAUUGACAUUGUAUAGAGUGUAUAAGUUAUUUAAUAUCGAAUUUGAAUGUGAGGUGUAUUUAUCAGUACGGAUGUGUACAUCUUUUAUUGGCACGGAAGUACUUAUCGAUUAUGCAUUGAAUUUUUUAGUAAUUUAAUUCAAAAUGUGAAGUAGCUUUUGUAAAGUUACCGAAAGCGCCGUGACGGAGAUGAAGAUGGAAAUGGUGUAAAACUUUUGACGAGUUGAACCGAAAGCGCCGUGACGGAGAUGGAGGUGGAGAUGGAGAUGAGGGCCGGGGAAGAAAUAGAGAUAGGACAAGACAUAACGCCACCGCUCCCUCCGCUUUCUUCCUCUCUCCACCACUCCCUCCUCUCAUCUCACUGCUCUUCCUGCUUCUCCCCUCUCCCUCCCCAACCCUUCCCUCCCCUCUUUACUCCUACCUUUCCCAACACUCCCUCCUCCUACUACUGCUCCUCCCUCUGCUCCUCCGCCGAUUCUCCCCUCCACGUCUCCAGCGCCGAGCCCUACCUUCUCCUGCUUCUCCAAUCCCACCCCUCCGCCUACCCCAACGGCGACUCCUCCGACCUCCGCGCCGCCCUCCGCCUCCUCCAAUCCCUUCCCGCCACCUCCCCCUACCCUCGCGUAGCCGGCCUCCUGACGAAUCGCCACAAACUCCUCCACCACCACGACCAUAGGGUUCGCGACGGCGCCAGAGCCAUGUUCCUCGCCAGGAAGAUGCGGGAUGAAUCUCCGAAUUUCUCUAUCGAUGCGACUAUUGCCAACGUUGCUCCGCACGACGCCGUAUUGGAGGAGGCCGUGCUGUCAUUGGUGCUAACGAACGCCGUGGAGGUGCAGGAUAAGACCGGGCGCACCCUUGGAAUUUCCGUCUACGGUCCCAGCUUCUGCUGGAUCAACCACAGCUGCUCCCCGAAUGCUUGCUACCGCUUUUCUUUGAUGACACCGCCAACGCCACCUUGUUGGCCCGAAACGGCGCUGCUGCGCAUUGUCCCCUUCGGCCGCUCCUCCGGUCGUGCCACACAAGUAAUCCCUGCAAAUUUGCACCGUUUGUUUAAUUUAUAGUGGAAUAAGAUUGAAAUUCAGGGUUGUGAGAUGGAUAUUUGUUGCAGAUUGAGAAUGGUGUUUGUAGCAAUAAUGUGUUAGCAAAAGGUGUUGUGGUUUUUUUAAGUUUUCGUGCUUCUUUUCGGUUUUUGUUUGUUUGAAUUAGUACACCAAAUUUACCAGUAUUAUUGAACCAUUCGUGUAUAUUACGAAUGUAGAAAGCCGAGGUUAUGGUCCAAGAGUGACGGUUAGGAGCAUCAAGAGAAUCAAGAAAGGCGAAGAAGUGACUGUUACUUACACUGAUUUGUUGCAGCCUAAGGUAUCUGCAUUUUAUCUAUAUACACAUUAUACAUGGAUCAGCGAUUGGAAUUUUGAAUUCAUAUAAUCCACAUCUGUUUUGUCAAGUUAACUGAGCGAUGUUUCGAUGACUGUGAGAUGAGAAUUUGCUAGUGUCAUUUUCUGCUUAUUGUCCCUGUCUUAGGAAACUAAACUUGAUGAGACAAUGCAAGGCAAUCCGACUUCUUUCCACUUUAGGGAUUAGCUAAAUCUUGCCCCAUUUGACUUUUCUUUUACUUAUUUCCAAUUUUAAUUGUGUUGAUGUUAUAUUUUAAUCCCUUUCUUUUAACGUCACAUUUUCUUUUCUUCUCAUGAGCUCCUCCAGGCAAUGAGGCAGUCAGAGCUAUGGUCAAGGUAUCGGUUUAUCUGCUCUUGUACGCGAUGUAGUGCAUCACCCCUAACCUACGUGGAUCAAGCUUUGGAGGUGGCAAUUCAUGAAAACUUUUUCUUUCUUUCUUGAUAUUCUCAAUUAAAUACUAAUUCUUAAGUCUAUUUGGAGUUCUUCCGUAAUAUCUUUAUACUAUUGAUUUUACAGAAAUUAUAAAUGCACUAGGAUAUUUGUACUUCUAGAUUCUUGUUUUUGUAUCCCCCCCUGUAUAUAGUUUGGCCUUCACUUUGAACAAAAGCUCUUUUUCAACUUGAACAUGAAUUACCUCCUAACCAUUUUUCUUCCUCUCUGGCAGUCAACUUUAUUUCCUAGGAUGUAGCUAAUGUUCUUAUUGGUGUUUUUUGAAUAAUCAUUAACCUUCGGUUUCAAAACUCCAGGAAAUAUUUGCAGUCAAUUCCAACUCCUCCAGUUUGAGUUUAGAAAUAAACUUCAAUAGAGAUAAGGCAACGCAAUUGUUGAGUGUUUACUUUGAUGAUGCUAUUGACGACUACCUGUCGAGUGGCGAUCCUGAAUCUUCUUGUGAGAGGCUUGAGCAUGCGUUCACACAAGGACUCUCUGAUAUGCAAUUAGAUUGCAACGGAGAAACAUCUCAGCUGAGAUACUGGUUGCACCCAUUAAAUUACCUCUCCCUAAAUGCCUACACAACAUUGGCUUCAGCGUAUAAAAUCCGUGCAACUGACAUGAUAGCUUUAUGUUCUAAAAUGGAUGAUCAUCUGUUAAAAGCUUUGAACUUAAGCAGGACUAGUGCAGCAUACUCCUUACUACUUGCUGGUGCAACUCACCAUCUGUUCCGCUCUGAAUCGUCUCUAAUUGUAUCUGUUGCAAAUUUCUGGACAAGCGCAGGGGAGUCAUUGUUAACUCUUGCUAAAAGCUCAGUCUGGAGUGAGUUUGUCCACCGGGAUCUGCCUGUGUCAAAUCCAUGUUCCACUGCAAGUUAUAGAUGUCCAAAAUGCUCAUUGAUAGACAAAUUUGAAGCUUGUUUAUUCUAUGGUCAAGUUCAACAUGCAGAUUUUGACGAUGUCUCAAGUGAAUUCAUUGAUUGCGUCUCUAACUUUACACAGAAUGUUUGGAAUAUUUUGGCUCUCAGUUGCCAGUACCUUAGAUUGAUUAAGAGUCCUAUUGAUUUCAGUUGGCUUGGUACCACAAAAGAUUCCAGUGUAGGGGAAGUUCUGAUUCGGUCUAGUGGCACUAAAGCGGGUUCUUGUGGGACUGAGAGAAGCAUUUCUGGAAGUGAAGCAGAGGGAUACACAGCCCAGGUACGGAUAUGUAUUUUUAAGCUCGGUGUCCAUUGCUUACUAUAUGGAGGAUAUCUAGCGAGCAUAUGUUAUGGUAAUUCCCAUUUGACCUGUUAUGUUCGUAAUAUUUUAGAUAUGGAAGGGAUAUUAUUGAAUCCUUGUCAUGAACCAAAUUGAGUUUGAGAUCUUAGAAGUUAAAUUAUUCCUGUUUUGGUGUUAAUUGCUGUGUUAUUAUACUCGUUAAGAAUCUGUUAAAAAUGUUGGUUGCAUAUAUCGUCUUCUCUGCUUGUGAUUUUUCGCCUCGAACUCUAUUCGUCUUGCAUGAUGCCCCAAGGAAUCAGCCACACGUAUCAGAAGUUUGUGUCAACGGAUUCAAUUUGAUAGACUACAGUGGGUUUCAAAAUAGAAUAAUCCGCUAUAGCUGUUUCAUAUAUCAUUUCGGUUCAGUCAAAUUAAAGAACCAAAAUUGAAAUCACAAUUGGAUUCGAUUUGGAAACAUCUGAAAUACAAAAUUGAAACCACAAUCGAAUUAAAGAACAAAAAUUGUCAUCUCCUGAUGCAUCCCUGUUUCUAUUUGUGUUCGUGUUUGUGUCAAAAAUACAUCGUAAGAAUGUUAUAACAGUUGCAUACUUAAAGCGACGCCCUACUGAAUGUUACAAUAGAUGCAUACAAGACCGUCGCUAAUGUCAAUGUUUCUUCUUUUUGUUGGACUUUGAGUUGGAGCCAUGCUCAUUUUUAUGUCGCUUUUCCCCACUCUUGUGACUCUCUCUCUGUUUUCCUUUAUCCAUUUUGUUUCUACUUGAUUUCACGCUAACGAGACCACCAGCAGGUAGGUUUGCACCGCCAUUCUGUAAUGCAUUCUCAAAGUCUGCAUCUCUGUCCCCAAUCGCGUACUGUUGAAGCAACUUGGGAUCUAAUGACCCCUCCGAGUUGGAUCUCAUCCCAUCCUGUAUGUGCGUAGUCAAGUCAGCCCAACUCUUGGGAUUCAGAACGCGGGAAAGAGAGGCAGUUCAGGUAACACGAAGGUAAGGAAGGAAUAAAGCGUACCUCAACUUUUCUUGCAGCAUCAUUGAGAUCAUCAUCAACAGAGAUCUUGUGAGGUUCCAAGAGAGUCUGAACCAAAAUUUCCGAAUCAGAGUGGAGUUACAACAUAGGCAGAAGAAAAGCACAGUAGCAUACAUACACGCACGCACGCACAAUUAUAAUGUGAUAGACGAUGUUUAAGCUUGCAUUAAGAAACACAAUAAUGUAAACUUAGCGAUUACAUAUCAAACAAAAUAGUUCAGGUACCAAAGUGGCUCACGCGCAACACACAUGUCAAUAUCAUAUAGUUAAGCCAACUAGAAUCAUAAUGCAUCCUACGACAUGAAAUUAUUAGAAAGAGAUGGAAACCACCAACAUAUCAUGUACUUUCCAUAAGAAAAAAAAGGGUUACUGCUUUGCUGAACUUACUUCUUUUGGUUUAGGCAAGGUUGACACAAGGCCCUCAGAUGCAAUAGCGUAUAGAUAUUUGUGAAACUUUUUCAUAACUUUUAUAAACAGAGACAAUAUUUGCUGCCUUUCCAGUUUCAUCAACCCCUGGAAAACGUGAAUGUAAGUAAAAAUCUACACCUGAUAAGAAUGAAAUAAAGAGCAGAAAUGACGCCACCAAGUAGAGUGUUUUGUCUUUGCAAGUGGGUUUGAUUGCGUGCUCGCAUUGCAUCUAUGUGACUGGUAUAGCCAAGCAAACCAUAUGAGUAACAAGUAGAGAAACAAACCUCAAUAUAGGAGAUAUCUUGAUUCUGUAAGCCAAUGCAGAGCAAUAUGGAAGCCUGGGCACCUGUCAAUGUCACUGGAAGUUUCUCUUGGAAAUACAGAUGUGAAAGCGUUGGAACAAGAUCCAAAAUCUGUAAAAUAAAAGCAUAACUUUAACAUGUGUAAAGUUAUAAACAAACGAUAACUAGAGUACAAGAGGACCUCAGUUUAGAAAAUGACACUUAAUUUCAAAUUCAAAUGGACCCCAGGGUUUAAACUGUAAUUUUAAAAACAAUUCGCAGGUAAUUUGAAGAAAGUAAGGUCUGUUGGUUAAGGAUGAAAAUGCAAUAAGCCCUCGGAUCCCUCCUCCCCACUAUCAUCUAUGCCUAACAGGAGGAAGAACAUCUUGACACAUUCAAACUGGCAGCCUUUCCCAAAAAACAGAAGGAAGCAGAUAAUCCACUCAAACCAUAAUCAACAAAAAUGGACGACAUGCCAUUGACCAGGAUGCACUGCACCUUCCUGAGAACCGCACAACAAAUGGGUUCACCUCCCUCAGGGGCAUACCCACAAGGGGGUGGGAUUGGGUGGGAGGGGAAGAGAAGGGGUCUAAUAGCCUAAUCGCUGUUGAUUUCAUCUUUUUAUGUAACACAGAGCACGGGAUGAAACAUCGGCCACAGAAUCCUACACACAAAUUACUUGUAAAGUACACAAAUUCCCCUUCUCAAACAAGCAAUUUUGAACUUUUAAUGUGUAACUGAACAUAUAUAUACAUAUAAUUAGAUCAAUAACUAAACACAAUGUCCUAAUAGUUCACUUUUGAAAAAGAUUAUUCAUAAAACAUUGCAAGAGUAAUAUAUGUUCACAAUCAUGGUAUCAGAUUGUCCACAGUAAGAAAACAAAUAUUUCACCACUGUCAACUAAAAAUUGUAUCACAAUCACAAUCAUAUUGCCACACUGAGACGAUAAUUCUAUCACAAAGGAAUACAAUUUUUCUUUUGUAAUGCAAUAUUACUUUCUUUUUCUAAAGGAAAGCAUAUUUUGUCUUGUAACGCAAAUAUCUUUUUUGAUUCUAAGGGAAGUAUUUCUUGUUCUGUAAUGCAAACAUUACUUCUAUUUUUAAUAUGAAUGUAUGGAAUCAAUUAGUAAUCCUAAGAUAAAAAAAUCCCAAAACACUACAUAGCACUAUGACAGGGCAAGUUGGCAAUCAACCAUUGUUCAGAGAACUUACCAUAUGAAAGUCAGCAAGACUGCUGGUGUAGGCCUCCAGUCGCUUCAUAUCAUAAGGCGAAAGUAAGUCUGUGAUAGACCGUAAGAAUCCAUCUGUGGUAGACGAUUUGGGUUCUCCAUCCUUGUAAUUGAUCUUAGGAUCUAAGAUGCUGGAAAAUUAUUAGUUAGUACGAGCACUUGAACAAUAAGCAUUUAUCAGAAUGGAACUUUUAAUAGUACCUCAUAGCGAGCCUAUAAUCCAUUGUACGAAAACUAUAACCCAAUAGUCUCAAAAAUCUUCUCCUGAAAUCUAGGUAGCCAACAAAUAAUCAAGCUGUGAACUGAAAUACAAAAAAUCUGCACAAAUUUAAAUAGAACAAAGGUUUUCCAAAGAAAAAUGGGCCCACCUAGGUUGAAUGGACGAAAAUCACUGGUUUCAAGUUCAUCAUUCUUCAAAGAUUUGAGGACCAUACACGUAUGCUCCCCGGUCACACCACUCUAUUACAUUGAAAAGAAAAAUGAAAAAUUAUUGUUUAAUCAGUCAUUCAUUCACAAAUGAUAAUAUUCAAAAAAACAGUAAACGGAAAAAAGGAUUCAGUAUGGAGAGGGGAAUCCAUCUUAACUGGAAUAUGUCCAAUAUAGAAUGGAGCAAACUUAUGUUUCCACCAAAACCUGAAAAGGUCCAAGGUAAGCCCAAAGGAGACACCAAUAUAAUGGAGCUUCUCUGGUCGCCUUUCACGAAGAUGAACAAGCAAAUGAGGAAGAUCUGUUCUAGGUUUUAUACUUUCUUCCAGCAAUGAAACCUAUAAAUAAAAUAGACAUAGGUAUCAUUCCGAUAAACAAUAUCAAGGCACAGGCGGCAGGUUGAUUAAUACCAAACAAACAAACCAAUACAUGAUAAUAUACUUUGAUGUCAUUAUGAUUAAAAUUAACACAACAAAUGAUCAUUCACAAAAGUUUGUCAAAUUAUAUUCAAACACAGAAAUUGUUCUACAAUCACCGGAAUGAAGCUUAACCAACUCAAACACUUCGACAGAACAAGAAUUGCAUUACCAGAAACCUAUGAGUUACAAAAUUGCCUCCAAUUGCAAUAAUAAUACAUAGAAUAGUCUCGUAUAAGCAGUUCUCCAACCUAUUAAUUAAAAAUAUUUAUAAAAAAAAAAAAACUAAGCUUGGUGAUUGUAGUUCACCUUCUCAGCAGCUUCUGUGACUCUGAGUGGGGGAGUCUCAACAUCUUCAACGUCCAGUUCAGAAAUAGGAGCAAACUGUCCUUCGUAGUACCUGAGGAGAAAUAAACCCUUAACACCCAUUUUUUCAAAUAUAAAAACAUAAAUGUGAAGCAUCAACUUUUAGAACCAAAGAGAUUCAGUGCAAUUUUCAUGUCAAAACACUUUUAUCUCAAUAAUGAAGUACUUAUGAGUUACAUUGAUACAAGAGCAAUGCAUCCCACAUAUCACACACAUUCCUUAUAUCUGGAUCCCCAACAAUAGCAAUCCAAUGUCACCCACAUAGCACAUGAUACAUACCAGAGGUGUCCCUAGAAUGUCCACAUCAGCCAUUCCUUAUAUCUGUGUCCCCAAAAACAUUUGCAGUAAAAAGUACAUGGACUUAUGAGCACAAAGGGAUAACGGACAUGUAUGGGUUGACUUGAGAGAUAAACCAAGUAAAGUAAGUUCAAGAAAAAAUCUAGGACCAAAUAGGAUACAAGGUCAGAAUCAGUGUGACCCAUCUAAAAAGUUAGGACCCCACAUUAAUUUGUGCAGUCAACAACGAGGAUCCAUCUUUGGAUUAUUAUCCUAAAACGCUCUAUCUUUGGAUUAUAUCCUAAAGUGCUGCUGGUUAAGCUUGUUUCUGGUUUUUCUCUGUUGGAAAUUUCAAUUACUAACGAAAUAUCCAAUCUUCAUUUAAACAUACAGAUUUAAACUCAACUGUUGGCACUGCAGACUCUUGGCCAUUGUUGGGAUUGAAAUAAGCUAGAGUUUCUCAAGAUAAAUGCGGAUGAGGUGGGUUUUAUUUGAGAUAGCGAAUUCCAUGUGUUUGUGGAUUUAUUGCCAAAGCAAUUUGGGAAGAUCCCUGCUGUUUCCUCCAGAUGGAUGGGGUUAUAAUUUCAUUGUAACUUUUCUGAAGUAAGUUUUAGUUGGACUCCUUUUCUUUGCAAUGGACAACUUCUCCUCCUUUCCUUUAGAAAAUGCUUUGCUUUGCUGAAUUUUUCGUAACUCUUAGAAAUGUAACCCAAACUAAGAUGAAAACCCCCAACAUGACCGUAUUUUAAUAUGCUAUCACUUCUAAUCCUCUAUAUCUUUCCACUUGUUUCUCCAACUACCAUCAUAUGACUCGAGAGUUGUAUUGUGAGAAAGUCAUCUGUAUAUCAAAACUGAAAUCAAAUGAUCAUCUCUUCAGCACCCACAUGGUCUAUGUUCUAUAGCUUUCAACCCAAGUGAACUGAAAGCAUGAGACUCACAUUUUGAGUUGCGACUUUAUGUGCCUGAGCCAGGGUGCAUAUGCAUGAUUGCUUUUCAUUCAUUUUAGAAAUCAUUUGAAGCAUUGCUUCAGACAUAUAAUCUUCAAUCUUUUCACCUUUUUUUUUAUGACAAACAGUAGCGUUAGUGGGUUAAAAGUUUAUUUGUUAGGGGGAGGGGAAUCGAUGGGCAUCAAACCCGCACCAGGGUGCAUAUGCAUGAUUGCUUUUCAUUCAAAGUGUAGCAAUAUGGGGCUAAAAGAAUCACUCAGUCAAUCUUUCUCAACACCUUAGGCAUCCACAUACACAUUGGGAUCAUGUAUGUGAUCUACAAAAACGUUUAGGUGGGGAAUAACUCAAAGAGGAGCAUACCUUGUCAAUAGUUCCACUGCUUGUGAUCCAUAUCCAAUCUACAACAACGAAAAAUAAAUUACCAUUUCAACAGAUCCCUGGUUAUAGAUUACCAUUUCAACAAAAUCCUGGUUAUACAUAUUGCUUUGGAAACCAUAAUGAGAGAAUACCUUCAUGGCACUUGGAUGUGUAGCAAUUCGUACAAUCCGAGCACCUGAAAGACUGGGAAAAACUGUGUCCUGAAAUUGCUCACAGAAUUUCCAUGGUAUCUGGUCACCAGAAGGCUGAUGACCAUCACUUAAACUUUUCAUUGCAGAUUCACGAGAGAUCUUUCCCUCAAGGCAGACCUAAGAACAAAAUGAUAGCACAUAAAAUGUUGAGCAUCAAAGAAUUAGUGUUUUAUAGAAGAUGAAGUACGUGUUUAAAGUGUUGUCCUUUAUUGCUAUUUCACAUAAGGUAAAAUUAUAAAUAAAAAAACUAAUAAAAUUUUGGGUAUGCGUUAAAUAACUAAAAGAAAUAAUAGUCCUGAACUAGGGGAAGACAGUCAAACCUGAAUGACACACAAAAUAUCAGGAAGCUGAUUUUUUGACUCAUCAACAGGGCCUGCACGUGCAAAUUAUAAUCAAGUCCAGCCAAAUAGCGGCAAAAAAAGAAAGACCAGUUCUAACGUAACAUAUAUACCAAGUAGCACAAACAGGUGGUGAGCCGGGGCAUCAGCCAUUAGUUGCAAAUCAUUUGGAGAAUUUUUGUAGUGGGAGGCAACAUAUAGAGCCAUCAUCCGCUGCAAGUAUUAGAAUAUGUAAGUUCACUAAUAUGAAAAUGAGAAUCACUAGUCUGACAUUACUUGAACAUGUAAUUACCUGUAAGAACAACUCGCUAUCUUUAUGAUAUGAAAAAAGCGUAUCACAGUUUACGUAGUACAGAUCGCACUCACUGGGUGCAGGUAACCUAGCCGCCAAGAGAGAGAGAAGAGAGAGAGAGAUCAUUAAUAAAGGUAAGGGUUAUAAUGGAGAUGGUUACAUCUUCCUCGGUUCUGACUGUCUAAGCAAAUGUUUUUACCCGUUAAGUUUAGGGAUAUAAUUUGUGAUAUCCAAGCAAAGUAAACCAUGAAGCCAGGAUUCAAUCGGAUCACCAGAAGCAUAUCUGAUAGAUUCUUUCAAUUCUAUCUUUUUGAAAAGACGACCUACAAUCAGGGACAUUUAUCAAUUCAGAAAAUUAUGUCCAAAUAUCACAAAAUAGUUUUUAAAAAAUUAUACAUUGCUCACUUGCAAGCGCCAACAGUUCAAGUAUUUCAGAAACAAUAAUGUUAAGAGAAAGCAGAAGAAACAUUGAAUUUUGAAAAUAAAUUCAAGUUUUGGGGGGAAAGGGGGAUUUUGAUCCAACCUAAUUCAAGAUGAGAAUACAAAACACGGCCAAUAAGGAAUAAGCAUACCAGAUGUAGGCCCCUUAGCAGACACUUGGCUUUGCUCUUCCAAUUGCUGUAGAAGUUUUAGGGACAAAGACCGACCAGUACCUUCAUAGCUUUCAGUGUAAAAUAAAUGUCCUUUAGUAUUUAAAUUGCACUUAGAUUUUUUUUUUUUUACCAAAAGUUGAAUUCAGAGUUGACUUAUAAAUAGAAAGACAUCAAGCAUGAGUCAAGGAAAAGUGGAAACAGCCCAUGAAAAGUGAAAGAUCUUUCAUUCCCCCCCGCGGCCGUAACAGAAAGUGAAAAAGUGAAGUGAAAUAUGUUUCAUGAGACUGUUAAAACCAAAAAAGAACACAUGAUAAGAAUACACGACAUGAAGGAAGAAGAACAUGGAUGAAUCUUACCCAUUAACAGUAGAUGAAAGGAAGACCAGAUAAGGACCAAGCAAAGACUUCACUACUGGUAGUGGAAUAGCAGCUGCUUCAUCAACAACCAACAGUUCAACUUGGGAAAGCUUUUCAUGCUCAUGUGGCCGUAUAUACUGCAAGUACAAGUAACAAAAGUAAAAAACAAAUAGCCCCAAAAGCAAUGAGCAGUACAAAGUUCUUUCUUUUAGGCUACAUGAGGUGUAAAGGUCUAGACCACCUCACAAUCUCACAGGCAUGUUGAGUGCCUCUAUACCAUACAUACUGGAUUAGUGCCAGGAAGACACAUUAGGUUGACCAAAAAGUUUGGCGUUUCAGGAACAUGCUUUUAGAAGCAAGCUUCAGUAAUCACAAACCAUCUAAAUUAUGUUCAAUAUGCUCACACCAAUAACAAAAAUGAUGCACUUGGGCAAAAGUACAAUAGAAUUUUUGGAGUAGUCAAACAAAGACAACCACUAAUCAUAUAUGAGGGCAUACGACAUUUGAUGGGCAAAAGGUGAACACACUCAUGGCUAUUGUGAUGCGGCUAUCCAAUAGAAGAAUAUUCUCUAUUACAACUUGGUUAUCAACUUUUCAUGAGUAACAAUUCCUCCAUGUAUUUGUAUUUUGGUAUCAACUGACUAAACAAAAUCUUUAUUGCUAUUUUUUUAUAGAAAACGAGAUUUUAUUAAACAGCUAAAAAACAAUACAACACUUAGUGGACUAGGAAGUCCACCAUCAAAACGAAACAGCCCUGACAUAUGCCUCAACAUUCACCUCCAUCAUUAUAAAACAGAUCUGCAACUAUCUCACUGCAACUCCCCAAUCCAACAAAAUUACAUAAAAUGAAAGAUCCCAAAACCUUGGAGAGAGAGAAGCCAUAAGAAUGCCCAAUUCUUUCCCAAGAAUUCUCUUGUAAAUCCCCACUCUAAUUUUCAAAGGUUGCAAACUUGAAAUUAACAUAGAAGGUAACUGGCUUCAGAGUCAACUAGGAUAAUACUGGGCAUAUAUGCAGAGAGUAGGCAUAGUAGCAACUUUCAGGGUAUGGAAUAAUACAAAAGGAAAGGGAAGACCACAGAAUUCUCUCAGUCAUCUUAACUUGAUUUGGUACUAAGAAUAAGUUAUGUAUACACUUCCCACUGGCCCAUCUGUACGUUAAUAUAGAAAUAGAUUAUAUCCUGGCAACAAGGAAGUGAAAUACUCCUAUUUUUAUAUCAAUAUUGGGCACAAAUUAAGAGUUCAUCAAUAUAAUUUUACCUCAAUUGUAACCAACUGUGCAUAUAAGUUUACCUGAAUUGUUUGUCUGUGCUGCUUGUAUAUAUUGAUCUGUACAGUUGCUUUCUUCAACAAAGGGUCACUACUUUUCUGUACAUCAUAAUCUAUAUGUUCCUGCAAACAUAGUUUACAACUGUAAGCUCAAUAACUAGUGCACUGUUCGAAGUACAUGAUUGAAAAAUGAAGAAAACGGAGUGACCUUAUAACAAUUAAUGAAAGAUAAAAUGUAGUUCACAGAAUAAAACAUUCAAACACCACCAUCUUGAUAGUUAAACAAUUUCACUGUAAAAGCUAUUAAACUUAGCAGGAAAAAAAAUUUAAACUUUAUCUAACAUUUGAAUCUACAAUUUUCAAUUAGCAACUCUUGUCACAAAUGUUUAUUAGUGGGGUACGUUCUAAGAUAUUGUUAUUUGCUAAUUGUCGAGGAUUAUUUGGGAGUUAAAUCUCACAAGAAGGCGUAAAGAUCACAUUAGAAUUAGAUAUUUUACUAGGAAGCUAAAGAUCACAUUAGAACCACCCGCAGGAAUACAAAAAAACGACAUACCUUAUAGUCCAGUUGAUCAAAACCCUUGCAAACAAAUUCGAACAAGGUUCUUAAGUUCUCAGGGCUGGGUGCAGUUACAAAUAUAUUUGAAUACCUGUGAAGAUAUAUUUGUAUCGUCAAAACAUAGUACAUGAAUAUGAGUGUAGACAGCUACACAUACACCAAAACAGUUUUAAUACAUUGUAAAAGGCAUACUACCCUGCAGCAAUAGCUCCGGAAAUUGCCAAACCAAGUGCAGCCGAUUUUCCACGGCCUCGAGCAGCAAGCAAGGCAACAGUACUUCGGAGUGUCUUGUCCAAGAUUGCAUCAAGAAAUGUAGCAACAGCAUUUCCCUGUUGAAACAUUUACCAACUCAAACUAUGAGUCAUAUUAGUAAAUCACACAUGAUAGAAAAACUCAAAACUAAUACAAAUCAGAGAGAGUGCCUACCUGGUCCAACGUACAACAUUUCUUUAUUAAAGGGCCAACAGGAAAGGCAUCACUCAGCUGCUCUUUUAGAUCCUUCAGUUCCCUUUGUGACUCUGAUAUCCCUUCAGAGUCCUUCAAUCAUGAUCAGAAAACAAGAAAAAAGUUAUCAAAGUUAUCAAAGCUUCACAAACUCCUAGAAAGUAUCCUAAUAACCAUUCGGUAUACACACACUUGAAAAAUUACUUUUAUUCUUUUUGUCAUCUCGCAUAAGAUGCCACGAAAAUAAAGCAUUCCUCGAUUUAUCAGUUCCGUCCUAUAGAAAAGUUACAAGGCUAAAAGGUUACCUCUUUCACUGGAACUGGGGUAAUUGACCUCAUAUGAGAUGAAAUUGGUAAAAUAUUCAGCUCAUCAUCCAUUACUACACAUGAUUUGCAUGACGCAAGUGACAAUAAGAAACGCUCGUUAAAACGUCCAGUAGCCUUAGAAUGGGAUUCAGUUCGAAACCUAUCAUGAACAUCCUGAAAUCAAGAGGCGCUGAUAAGACUGUAUGGAGAUUUUUGCAUUUGAGAGAACGAGAAAGACAGUGUUGCAAAUAAAACAUGACAUAACGGAAUUGUUAUCAAAUAUAAUAUGUGGUGCAUGGCUAUUGCUAUAUUCGUUCUAAGUCCAUAAUGUAGUAAAACUAGAAACUACCUCAACAAGAAGAACAAAUAUUAUGAGGAAACCUAGUUGUUUUUUCUUCUUCUUUUUGGGGCUAGAACAUGAAAAGAAACAACUAGUCUACAUAGGCCCAACUGGGAAACUUAUAUGUUCAGCAGCAUUCUCUUAAAGAAAGUCAAGCAAUUGAAUCUACCAAAAGUCUUCUUGUAGCCAAGCACAUCAUUACGAAAAAAUUCGGAAACUUUUAACAUGGCUAGUUUUCAAGAUUUUGCGGUAUAUAAUAAGCAUAACCAUGCUGGCCUAAAAACUAAGCAUUAAUUGUGUGCAUGCGUAAGAGAAAGAGGUAUUAUUAUAUGCAUACCAUAACCAUGGUGUAGAGGUUGGUGAGUGAGGUUAGAGAAUGAAGCAACAAUAUGACUAGUCCACCUCCCUCCACUGUCUCUAUCGUUCUUGCUAGUAGAUUUGGAGUCAAGGCCUCAAAAUCCUAAUGCAGGAGAUCAAACUUAGUCAUAAAACUUAAAUCAAUUAUACAAGGGGUCUUGGCCAAACCAGUAAAUUUGUAAGUUUCAAGUUACCUGAAGUAUACACAUUCCAAAGGUAUUACCAAGAACUCUUUCUGAAUCCUUGUACAAGCAAUAAGUCAAUCCCCCACUUUCAACAAAAAGUGAGAAAGGAUCAACCUUCUCGGGAUCAAGCAGCCCCCUCUGCAUCAUCUUUUUUACUUGCUUAGCACGUUUUUUCUUGUGACUGCAUCAUGAAGUAGUCAAACGCAACGAAUCAAUAUAUUUUAAAAACGAAAUUCCGCCUUGCCUUAUAAUAAGGUGAAGAAUGGAAGGUAGAAGAAAUCAACCUGCUGAGCUCGAGCUUGUCCUUGUAGCACCACAACACAGUCGGGCGCGAUUUCUUUACUUCAUUGCUUAGCAUAUAAUGAAGAUUCACAAUCUGAAGACCAUAUAAAACUCCAUAUUAGCCAUUUUCCGUUAGUUUUCGAUAGAUUUUCGAUGAUAUUUCUUACCUUGUUUGAGGUUUUUAGUGUUACUCGGUGAGUAUUGCAGGUGAAAACAAGAAACAGUAAAACUGGUAAAAUUUUCUACCCAAUUCAAUUUAAAUCAUUGUUAUAACUCCUCAAAUUGAAUAGGAAUAGCAAAUAGGGAAUGGGAUAGGAAAGGCAGAAGAAAUUAGGAGUACCUGGUCACGGGAUUUGUCGCCGACGAUGACGAACAUGGAGCGGUGCCGGUUUUUGACGCCAUUGCUUAUUAGGGUUCGGAUUCGUUCGUCCACCUUCUUCCUCAUUCUCUCUCUCUCUUCUCUCUCUGUGCAAUUAGGUUUAGGGUUUAUACCAUAGGGCAGUUGUCGUCGUCGGGCAGGGUUUAAGCCGAACUAGUGAGAGAGAGACUAGACAUCGCGGAGAGAUAUUGAGUUCAUCUCAACCGUUGAUUGGCUAUCUGAUGGCUGUUAUCAAAGCUGACAUAAAAAUGAAAACUCAACACGUGGCCAAGUAUUUUUUUUCUCUCUUUUUUGGCUUAUUUAUUGAUUUGCCCCAGAAAUUAUUUUUUUUGUCUUACUCUAGGUCAUGAAACAGAAUUUAUCUUACUUUAUCUUCUAAAACUACCAAAAUCGAGUCAUUUCACCCAUGUUUUGUCAAUUCUAUCUCAUAAACGUUAAAUAAAAGGGAGUCUAAACAUUUCAUACCAUGCUAGCAAAGAUGAGCCACUGUUGUUGGUGAGGUACGAAAUUUUCAAACUUUCCUAAACCUUUAAAACUUAAAAGGUAUCUUGAAUAUGAACGUAAAUGAGGUAAAGUUGCUCAAUUUUGGCAAUUUAUGAAGGGUAAAAUGAGACAAAUUCAAUUUAAGGCUAAAGUGAGAGUAAAUGGCAGUUUCAUGAGAUAUAUCAAUAAAUAAAUCUUUUCUAGAAUACAACUAAAUUAUGUACUCACGGUAAAAGAUAAAUUAAUAUCGAACUUGUCAUUGACGAUAUCUAAACAUAAAACCUUUCAAGUUUUUACCUAUAAGAAUAAAUUUGGUAUAGUAAUUUCUUUUCUAAUUUAAAGUUUCCCAUAGAGUUAUGACGAAUUUGAUACCAAAUUAGGCUGUCAUUGUGUGGCAUAGCCGAAUUCCUCCUCCCUUACUUUAAAAAUAACGAUGUACUCAAAAAAAGUUUCCCAUAGAGUUAAAAUGAUCUUUAGUUGCUUGCUGAGACAACCCAUAUGUAUAAUAAGACAUUGAAAAAGGUGCCUCUGUCAUUUACACUCACACGAUCGAAUAAGUAGCUCCGACAGUUGCAUCAUAAAAUUAAGGGGUUUUCCGAGAUUGUAGUAAGGUUGACGAUUAAAGUUUGGGAAAUUUUCAGGUUAAGGAAUCAAGGGAUCACAUUUUCAAGUUUCGUAGGCAUUCUCUUUCCUUUGGAAUGGUGUUGGAAUCCGUCCUGAAGUUGCCCAUUCCUUUGCUCUUGAUUUUCAGAGUUGGAUAGCUAUAAACCUUAGGACACAUUGUACCACCAUACAUGGUUUACCUUGGAACCUUAUCUUUAAUUCAACUCUCUGGCAUUGCUGGAAAUGGAGGAAUAACUUUGUCUUCAAUGAUGGCCAACAACCGCUUGACUCACCCCAGAAUUUCAUUUUUCAAUUUGCAAGGGAAUGGUGUGAUGCGAACAAGUGUUCUUCUAGUAAGCCUCCUAGACAAAAUCAUCUCAAUCCAUUGGAUUCGUUUGCCAAUUGGUAUACAAAAUCAAUACAGAUGGGAGUUGUAAAGACCCAUUUAGCCACAUAAGUGCUGGAGGUUUGCUUCGUAAUUCUGAAGGGAAAUGGAUUAAGGGAUUUGCUGCUAAUUUGGGCAGAGGAACCAUCAUGGAAGGUGAGCUUUAAGGGUGGUUUCAUGGGACUUUCUAUAGGUUGGGAUGAGAGUUGCAAGGAAGUGAUUAUUGAAUGUGAUUCUUAUGCUGCUGUUACUUUGAUCCAACAACCUAUUUUAGUUCCCACUCUACAAUCUCAUUAUUGACUGCAAAGAAGCCAUUGAAAGAAAUUGAAGAUGUGAAGUUACUCAUAUCUAUAGAGAAAAUAAUGUCUUAGCUAAUCACACGUCUGACUUAGGUCAUGGGUUAUCACUUGGUCUUCAUGUUUUUGCUUCUCCUUCUACCAUUGCUACUAAUUUUAUAGUUUCUAAUACUAUUGGCAGGGCCCUCCCUAGAGCUGUUUUUUAGUAGCUUUUUUGUUUUGCUUGUUGGGCUUUGCCCUCUUCUGUACCCAAAAAAAAAAAAAAAAAAAAAAAUAUUGGGAAAUUUAUUUGGACCCAACUUUUUUAUCUCUACACCCAAAUAAUAUUUUCUCUUAUCUAAUCUUCCAAAUUUGUCCUUAAAUAACAAACAUUGAAGUUUUCUUUGUAUCUCUACACCCAAACCCCACGAUCCACCACUGUAGGGCGCUCCAUUAUUUCCGACAAACCCAACUCAAACGCCAGCAACACUAAAAUCGACAAAUCAAGACUGGAGAACAAAUGGUGUAGGAGUCCUAAUGUGAAUAUUAAAGCAAACUUAAGUUGCAAAACCCUUUUUUAUUUCAAUCGAUGAAAGGACCUUGGGUUAUGAACAUAAGGAACCUAUUAGGGUUUAGAGGUCCCCUCCACAUCAUAUGCAUAAGCCCUUUUUCUUCAUUCAUUAAUUUACGGAAGGGAAAAUUAAUACUAUUAUUCUCAUAAAAAGUGGGAAUACCAAGGAAAGAGAUCCUCUCCACACCAUAUAUUUUUCUUUUCUGAGUAGUUAUAUCCAAUGGAGAGAGGAAAACAAGAGCACCAAUGGUCGCAGGUUCACCGGAGAAAAUGAAGGUGCAGUGGUGAUGUGAGUUUAGGGUUAUUGGGUGUAAAGAUAACAACUUUAAUAUUUAUUUUCUCAUUUUUAUUUAUUUAAGGGCAAAUUUGAAAGUUUAGUAGAGAAAAUUUGUUAGUUGGGUGUAGAGAUAAAAAGGUUGGGUCCAACAAAAUUUCUCAUAAAGUUUAAUCACGCGAUUAAGUUCUUGUGCAAUGAGUAAAUUGUAGCAAUGACCCAUCAACUAAAAAUCCAUUAUUAUUGAUCCCUCAACUCAUCAAAAUAUGUAGUUAUGGUCAUUUUCGUCAACUUUGUAAGAAUUUUGUCAAAAUAAAUUAUGUUGGAAGGACCAUUGUUACAAUUAAGGUCCUUCAACUCAUCAAAACAUGUAGCUAUGGUCAUUUUCGUCAACUUUGUCAAAAUGAGUUAUGUUGGCAUGACCAUUAUUGCAAUUGGGUUAAAGUUGAGGAAUCAUUGCUCCAAUUGGGUUAAAGUUGAGGGAUCAUUUCUCUAGUUAGAUUAAAGUUGGGGGACCAAUGAUAAUUAAGUUUUAGUUAAGGGAUCAUAGUUGCACGUUUUGAUGAGUUGAGAGAUCAAUGAUAAUGAAUUUUUAGUUAAUGGAUCAUUACUCCAAUUGAGUUAAAAAUAAAGGACCAUUGCUACAAUUUACUCUUGUGCAAUAGAAGAUUAAUUUGGCCGAACAACCUGAUUAAGGUGCCUACUUUCUCUUUAAUUCAUUGGUAUCAUUUAUUUUCCCUUAAGCUGAAUUAUGCUCAAUUUAUGUAUCAAUAUUGUAAAGUUGUCUUUGUUAGAGUAAUUUGGACAAUAUAAAUUGAAAAUUAUUUGUGUAUAUGGAAAAGAUUAACCUCAGGGGUCACUUCGCCGGACUCCGUAGCAAUCUCCACCACUCCAAUCGUAAUGGUGAGUAAAUCACUUGUGUUUGUUUCCAUUUUUUCAAUUGGAAAUUGGGGGUUUUGAAUUCAUAUUUUGUCAAUUGGUUUUGUGAGCACUGAGAAUACACUACGAGCUUGUGUGUGUGUACAAUAUGUUGGAUUUGAUCUUUAUAAAGAAUGCGAGAAAUUGGGGUUAGGAAAGAGAAGAAAAGGAAACAGAACUCGAACUUCGAUCUUCAUUCUUGUUACUAAAGGAGAAAACCGAAUUUGAACCGGUUCAUACGUAAUCGAACCGAAUUUGUAUAGUUCGGUUCACCCCUUAGUACCGAACCGUACCAUACCAAAAAAAAUUUCUUGAGUUUGGUUUUGAUACAUCCCUCAUACUGUACCAUACCAAAUCGUGGCCAGACCUACUGAAUACAAAACUUAUAUCUGGGUCGUAAGUCGUAAGGCCUCCAAAAAAAAAGUUCAUAUUAUUCAUACCAAUCGGACAAAUCCCGCACCCAAAAACAAUGGCUAGAUAGAAAGUUCAAUUAUAGAUUAGGUAAUCUAUCCUUUUCAACUUAAAUGCACAUUCAUGAUGGUUAUGCAAAUCAUAUUAUGUUAACAAAUGCAACAAUUAAUUAUAUUUAUCCAUUUGGAAUGAUAUAUAUUUUCAAAGAUGGAAUUACAGACCCCGUUGACGUUGAGGCCAUUGCAUGAGAGAAUUUUAGAUGAUUUUCAAUUAAUUUAUAUUAUUGUUGUGAUAACCAUAAUAAUUAUUUUCUAAAUGUAAAACUAUAUUAAUGAAAUUUUCUUUGUCGGUCAAAAGAAGAUGAAAAGAUAUCUUUAUCUUCUAUCACAACAAAAAAAUUAAGGAUAUUAAUGUAAUAGGCUAAUAGCGAUGGGGUGAAGAAAUGGAACUAUCCUAAAUAGGCAGUUGCUGGUUAUAUUGGAUCAGGUGGUCUGAAUGAUUGGAUAAUUAGCAAAUAAAAAGGUUCCAUUUUUCAUGGACCCUCAAGUGGAAAUAUGGGAUAAAAGAUGGCAUAUACCAUUUUAUCCAUUUGUGAUUGUACAUUUUGAUGGUUGUGAUUUCACCCGAUGGCGCGGCAAGUGUGGAUUGGGAUAAGGAUGGUUUUGGUCUAUCAUCAAAGAUGGUUUGAUGUUCACGACUGGAUUUUACAACGCAUCCAAGUGCAUGGGUUCUAUAAAUACAGAGUUGCGCACAAUAAAAAAGUACAAAGGACCUUCAAACCUUUCACACACUCUGAGAAACUCCUGAUUCUCCCAACUUCGUCAACACAUCUUCAAUUUGGAUUAACAUCACUGUUUGUCAGUGAGGAGUCCUUAGUCUUCUCGUCUCAUUAGCCCUCUAGGUGAAGUGAGGUGUUACUGAAUUACUUGAGUAUUCAGCACAUUGAAAGUCGAACCUUAUUUGAACUUCACAGUAGUUAGCAAUCUUAUCUUCAGGUUUUAGAACCCAAUGCCAAGACAUAUUCCUUCCUCGACAGUGAUGGUUUGUACACAAAAGUUGGUUUGUACACAUAAGUCAGUAUUGUGUUUGACACACCAUCCCAUUCAUUCUACUAGCCCACAAACGCGUGGACUCGUCCAAAAUUACCCCACUCUCGGCCCGUUCACUUGCCCACUCGUCCCACGCGGCCCGUGAGUCUUCAGUGCCUGAUAGGGGGGCCUACUGUUAGGGCCGUUGUUGGCCACAACCCAGAGCCCAACGAUUUUUUUUUGCAUCCCACGACUGGCAUUUUUGGACCGUUGGUUGAUCCAACGGUCCAGAUUCAAAUUUUGUUUUUUUAAAUGUUAUUUUAAAAUACAUUGAAUCCAACGGCUGAGAUCGAAUAUAAUCAAAUCUAACGGUAAAAUAAAAAAAGAUAAAAAAAGAUAUAACAGUCCAAAUUUAAAUCCAACAGCUAAAAUAAUUUUAAAAAAAAUUAUUUAACUCAAAAUUCACCCAAAAACUCUAUAAAUACCUUUGUAUUUGUUCAAACAUCCACACAAAACUCAAUUUUCUCCCACAAUUCUUCCAUUUUUUCUUUCUACCAUUUCUUUCCAUUUCCAAAUUGUUCAACACGAUCCUUGAAUUGGCCAUCCCAAGCAGUAAGACAAUUCUUCCACUCCCAAAGCAUACAAUCGAGACUUCCUAUCAUGUCAGGAAAGCCUAUUUUGUCUGCUUUGAGUAGAAUGUGACGACAUGUCCCGAAUUAUUAUAUAUUUUUCUCCCUAAGUGUGUAAAGUGACGGUAAUGCCCUCGUGAUUUAGUGACGUGGAUGUACAUAUGUAGUUUUAAAUUAUUAUUUCUAUUGUCGUAGUUAAAUUGUACUCGACGCCAUGAGUGUGUUGAUGUGACCUAGGGCUAAAACAAAUUCGUAACGAAGAAGUUACGAACAGACGAGUGUGUAAAUGCGUAGAAAUAUAUUUUUAUGGGUUGGCUAUACCUUACCCACCAAUCACCUUAAUUCCUGAUUUCUUUGGCCUAAUUGAAUUAAAAAUAUCUCUCAUUUUUCCUUCUGCCCAAUCACGCACAUACACACCAUCACUCUCUCUCUUCUCUCGGACCUUCUUCUUCUUUCUUCUCAUUCCGUACACCCGAGCCACCCUUACCUCACAAUCAUCAUCAAAACAUUAUGGAUCGAAUUGGAAAUCACUACCAUCGCAGUCACCUCGAUCCCACGAACUCAUUGAUACCCUUAGGUCGAGGAAUAGACGUCGGGAAUUCGAGAACUCGGGAGCUCUGGCGAGGUGUAUUUUUCUACUUUGUGAUCGUGGUCUUUUUCUAUGGUUUAAAGGCUUGAGGUGGGUCCUAAUCAACUUUAUAGGGACCCUAGAUUAGUUUUGGAGCAGUUUGAACGUUGGAAUAGGUGAGAACAUGGAGUUGCAGGUUGGCCGGUUGAUCCAAGCCUUACUCCGACCACUUUCUGUCGGUUUUAGAACCUCAAGUAGGUAAGAUUGUAUUCUUCUAGUUGAGAGUUUCAAAUCCAUAUAAAAUUCAUGGAAUUUGGUUGAAAAAUGAUGAAGAUAUUAAAGUUUUAAGAUUUUUCCAAAAAUCAGCGACACAAACGGCGCCCGACGGCCAGCGAUGGAUUCCGACAAAGCCAUCGGAGAAGGAGGAGAAUAUUAUGUCUAACUUUGACAGAAUAUACUAACAGCGUCAGGUAACUCUAUUAGUUUUUAAACAAAAUAUUCUACUAUUUAAUGAAAUAUUCCCUAACGCCGUUAGGGAUUCCGUGCCUGCACGUGCCGGCUUAUGAGGGCGCGUGAGACGUCAGGAAAUUAAUCUAAAAAUAUUGGGGUGUUCGAGUUGUUGAGUAGGUCAUGUUGGUAUAUUCAAACACCCUAUUUGAGCAACGUAUGAGAAGUUAUUCCUAGGGUUUGUGUAUGUGCCUUAAAAUUAAUGUAAAAUUAGUUAUUUCGCAUAUAGGUGAGACUUACCCGGAGGACAAACGUGGUCAAACGAGACUUGGGGGCUACGAUCCUACUACUUACCAGUGAGCGGGCUUUUUUUUUCUAUAUAUAUGUAAAUAUGCUUAUGAAUCCCAUAAACUACUUUAAAUGAACGUAUGUUUUAAAUGCCAUGUCGUGUGCAUUAUGUGUUAGUAUUGCAUUAGUAUAGCUAUGCAUAGUAUUGGAUGAGACUGCGCAGACUCAGGUAAGUUUCAGGUGAGUACAUCAUGAUGGUAUUGGGUGCGUGUGUGUGGUUAUACGUUGAUGCAUUUUGAGCUUAUUAUCCUGCACAUUGGUGUUAGUGUUCUCGCCCAUGGCCAGGGCAUAGUUUUUCACAUGAUGUUCACCUCCUGGGCCGCACGCUCACUUUGGAUCCAAGUUUGGUGCACAGCCAUAUUGCACAGACCACAAUAGGUGGUUCCGACUCGUAGGUGACCUGCAAUUAUUUGCACAGCCUUCACGUGAUCGUAGCACUUAAGCGUACUUAUCUACACCCAGCCCUGUUGUACAGACCACAAUAGGUGGUUCCGACUUAUGUGCAUGCAUACUUGAUGAGCUAUAGAUUCAAUUGUACAGGUUACAUUAGGUGACUCCGGUUGGCAUACUAUUUUAGGUUGAUUCGUAUCACCUGGCUUACACAUUUUAUGGUUGAACAUCUUGACAUGGCAUACCUCUGUUUUCACUGCUCUAAGCAUUAUCCUUAUGUACCUAGUUGUUAUUAUUUUCUGGAAAAUUAUAUGGGUUUACAGUGAGGGGUUAGUAUGUUCAUAAAGACAACUGUGUUUUCAAAAACUUUGUUUUUGCCUACUCACAUUUUUUGUUUUGCACCCUUUCAGGUUCUAGGUAGUUGGUCAUCCUUGGUGGCUCACGAGGACUUUCACGGCGGUUCUGACAUCUCUGUAAAUAAGUAGGGAUUUUUUUCCCUGUUUGUAUAAUUAGUACUUAGUUGGUUCGAUUGCACUUUCGUUUACCCAUGCUCUGAUAUUUGUAUAACUUGCUUGGUCAUCUUUACUCACUUAUAUUAUCUUAGUUUAGAUAAGUUUGGUUUUAGGUUUUUAUUUAUUCGCAUUUCUUUUAUUAUUACUUCUGUUGCGCAUUUUGGCUACGUUACUCUUACGUGACGGGCAUCAUGUUUCGACUUCGGUUGGGGUGUGUCAUAAAAGCCUCUUCAAGUCUUCAUGAUUUGGCUUGCAGAGAUAUGUGGCUCCAUAUGUGGCCUGAAUUGCCCCACAGAAGCGCUCCAGGUUUUUAAUAGCAGUAGUCUCCGCAAGUCGGCAAUACUCAUCAGUUGAGUUUGCAGAGCACUCAUUAGCUAGCAUCCGAAAUGCAGAUGUGAGCUUCUGAUGAGGUGAUAGACUUUGUCGGCCUACGACAUUUAUCUUCCUUGCAAAGUAGUGGUCAUGAUUGACAACUGUGUUCAAGAUGCUUUCAAAAAUCUCUCUCCUCAUUCGAAACCGUCUCCGAAAAUCAUGAGCAGGAAAUCUCGGACGCUCAAUAAAAUAAUAUUUCAUCAUUCGGUCAUGACACUCUUCUCUAUCACGUUGCACAAAUGAACGCUUCGUGACAUAACCACAAUAGCUAGAUUCGACAUGGUGCUCAUAUUGCAUAAGCGAGUUUGGAAGUUUAGCUUAUGCGUUGAUCAUUUUUGAAUCCUCAAUGUCAAGGCUUGCUUGGUAUUAUGUCAUUUGCAUUGCCCUGCUACACCUUCUUCUAUCAUCCAUUGUUGAUAUAUUGAGGAUUUUUAUGAAACAAAAACACUUUGAAAGUUGAAAGAUUAGUGAAUAUAGGGAAUGAUUGAAGGUUGAAAGAUUGUGUGACCAACUGAUAUUGAACAUGUGUUUAUAUAGAGGAUGAUUGAUGAAAGUUGAAAGUUUGGUGAAAGUUGAACGGUUGGUGAAAGUUGAAGAUUUGUGAAAGUUAAAGACUUGCUUUGUGGAAAGAUUUAGUGAUUUUUUCAAUAUUUAUUGGAAUUUAAAUAUUUUUAUAUUAAAAUGUUCAUAAAAUUAAUUUACCAUAGGCUACAUAAUUUUUUUUAAAAGUUAAUUUAAGAAAAAAAAUUAGCCUAAGUUCAUUCUUUAAUAAUCCCGAACUAAAAUUUUAGGCUAGGGUUGGAGCAGAAAAACUGUUUCUGUGUUAAAAGCUAAAUUUUUUAGAUUAAAAAUUUUAAAUUUUAACCCAAAGGUUGGAGAUGAUUUAAGAAUGGAUAAACUUAACCAAGAAAAGAAGAAAAAAGAUGAAGGGCAAAUAAGUGAGAAGCAACAUGACACGACACACGGACGACCAUAGCAAUAAAGCGUGCGUCCUCACGUCCAUUGAAUAUAUAGAUGGGAGCUACAACAUCGUGUUUCACGUGCAUGUGUAUUAUACAUAAAGGCAUAUACAGUGUUAGCUUAUAUAUUAUAAAGUUUGUAGGCCACUUACCCAAUUUGGCAUAUGUUUUAUCUUUUUACGUGAAUAACCAAUGUGUUAUGAUGAUACAAGUCUCUUAACAUAUCCGGAGUUAGAAAUAUCAUAAGACAGUGUUGCGAUCAUAUUGAAAUUAAUUGACAGUUUGUAUUAUAUAUUUGAUUAUUCUUUAUUAACUUAAGGAGACAGCAUACUUAGACCUAAUUUAGUCACAUUCUCCAACCGAAAAUAAAGCGGUGUAGUAUUCAUACACUUUUUUUUAUUUCUUACACAGUCUUAAUUAAUUUCUAUUGUUUGAUCUUCUUCAAUUCAUUCGAUCUGACGACCGAAAAUUAAGAUGGUGUGUGGACGAGUAAAUUAUAACAAUGGUCCCUCAACUUUAAUCAAAUUGGAGCAAGGGUGCUCAACUAAAAAUCCAUUACCAUUGGUUCCUCAACUCAUCAAAAUGUGUAGCUAUGGUCAUUUUCGUCAACUUCGUUACAAUUUUGUCAAAAUAAGUUAUAUUGGAAUGACUAUUGCUACAAUUGGGGUCCCUCAACUCAUCAAAACGUGUAGCUAUGGUCAUUUUCAUCAAUUUCGUUAGAAUUUUAUCAAAAUGAGUUUUGUUGGAAUGACCAUUGCUACAAUUGAAUUAAAGUUGAGGGACUAUUAUUUCAAUUGAGUUAAAGUUGAAAGAUCAUUUCUUCAGUUGUAUUAAAGUUGAAGGAUCAAUGGUAAUGAAUUUUUAGUUGAGGGGACUAUAGCUGCACGUUUUAAUGAGUUGAGAGAACAAUAAUAAUGAAUUUUUAGUUGAAAAACUAUUACUUCAAUUGAGUUAAAAUUAAGAAACAAUUGCUACAAUUUUUUUAUAUGGAAAGUGGAUGAUGUGAAUAGCACAUCCAAAAAUAAAAGGGAACUUUAACGAAAAGCACCCGGUACUGUUCACUUUAACGAAAAACCACAUUUUUACACUAAAAAGUCAAUCCUGGUACUAUUCACUUUACCCUUUAUUUUGUCCUUAUCAUUAAAACUCAAAGUUUUCAAGCCCUUUUCAUUAGUUUUCCUAAAAUAAAAUGCACCACAAUUUGGUAGGAUCUUCCUGUUGAGAGUAAUAAAUUAAUAAUUGCCGAAAUAUUGGAUAAUUUGUCGGCCACAACGCUAUGAGGGAGUAUCUGGGGAUGAAUAUACUCUUGCCGACAGAUGCCCAAAUUCCAACUGCCAUUCAAAUGAGCCCUCCACCACCACCGGCCAUAAUAAAUUCUCUUUCUUUAGUGAAGAAGAAAAAGAGGUACUUGGCCCUCACCUCAACUUUUUGAGAAAGAACAAGUUUAUCGCUAUCAGAAUGUUUCGGUCAAUUAUAUAAGUUAUGUGUAAAUUUUUCUUUAGAUAACAUUACAUUAUUAUAUUUAAAAUGUUCCGUAACGAUAAAUUUGUUUCAUACAAAUUAUUCUCCAACUUCUUGGAUUUUUCUCCUUUUUCCCGAAAACCAGCUUAUAUUAGUGUUCAUCCUCUGUCAAUAUCACUCGCCCACAACUAUUCAACUAACUUUUAAUAAUUUGACAACGUGUCAUAUUUUUGUGCAAAGCGGGCCCAUUUUUGUGGGUGAUAUAAUAAUGGCGUAUGUGGUUUGUCAAGACAUAUACUCAUUUAUCCAUUAGCAGUUAGGUAAGUCACCUCACUCACCCACAGCCUAACACAUCAACAAAUAUUGCUUACAAAUUCUAGAAAAUUCGACCAAGAAAAAAAACCAAAUGCUCGCAAAUUAAAAUUGUGUAACAUGAUUAGUUUUUUAUCCAUUAGUAUUAAUUUUACGUUGGAAGAAAUUCCAAAUUUAUUCUUGUAAAGAGGGAUAUGAAAAUACUUUGUAUGUCUAUCACCAAAAUCUUCGAAUGUUUGAAUGGUUGAUUUUCAAGUCUCACACAAUUGGAUUUAGUUCAAGUGAGAAAGAAAUACACUCAAACUAUUAGAUAUGAGGAAUGAAAAUACACUACAAAAUCUUGUGAACAUUUCUAAUAUUCUCUUCUAUCUACUUUUUGUGAACCAAGUUUUUAUUUGUUUUUUUUUUUAACAAAAGAUAUUUUUUAUACUAGGGAAAUAAGGUGGGUUUAGCCUCAUAAUGGGCUAACAUAAUCUAGUUCAAACUUGCAUUUGGUGAGAAUCGAACCUAAAAUCUCUCACUUACAAGUGAAGAGGAAUACCAUUAGAAGUGUCAUGAAAUUAGCAGUCUUAUAUGUAAAAAAUUGAUUGACUAAAUGCUGUGUUAAAAAACAAGAUUAAUACUUGCAUCUCCCCACUUGGAAAAUGCAAAUAUUUCAUUUCUUGCAAAUAACGUAUAUCAUGCGUUCUGUUCAAUCGCAUAUUCAAAAAUGUUAAAAACAAGAUUAAUAUUUCUAUCUCCCCACUUGGAAAAUGCAGUAUUUCAUUUUUUACGAAUAACGUAUAUCCUGUGUUCCGUCCAAUCGCGUAUUAAAAAAAUGUGUGAAGUUUGGAUUAACUACACUCUUUGAGAAUUUCCUUAAAUAACCACUUUUUGAAAAUUUCUUAUAGGACUAAGUGAGUCUCCGCUGAGAAUUUCCUUAACUAACACAACACUACUUGAGUGAUAAUUUGUUAUAUCUUGAAUAGAGAAUAAAUCAGUUCCCUACUUUUGAAGGUACUAUUAACUUACACUAUAUUUGAAUGAGAACAAUAAACUUAGAAUUUAGAUGAAGGAAAUAAAACAGUUUCCUACUUUUGAAGGUACUACUCGAGUGAUAAUUUGUUAUAUCUUGAUAACGUGUCAUAUUUUUUUGCUAAGCGGACCCAUUUUUGUGGGGUGGUAUAAUAAUGGCGUUUGUUGUUUGUCAAGGGCAUAUACCCAUUUAUCCAUUAGCAGUUAGGUCACCUCACUCACCCACAACCUAGUACAUCAACAAAUAUUGCUUACAAAUUCUAGAAAAUUCAACCAAGAGAAAGAAAACCAAAUGCUCGCAAAUUAAUCUGUGUAACAUUAGUUUUUAUCCAUUAGUAUUUAUUUUACAUUGGAAGAAAUUCCAAAUUUAAUCUCGUAAAGAGGGAUAUGAAAAUACUUUGUAUAUCUAUUAUCAAAAUCUUUGAAUGUUUGAAUGAUUGAUCAUCAAGUCUCACACGAUUGAAUUUAGUUCAAGUGAGGAAGAAAUACACACAAACUAUUAUAUAUGAGGAUUGAAAAAUACACUACAAAAUCUUGUGAUAACAUUUCUAAUAUUCCUUUCUAUCUACAUUUUGUGAUAAGUUUUUUUUUUCCUUUUUUGAACAAACUAUAUUUAUCUACAUUAAGGGAGAGGAGGUGAUCUUAGCCUCACAAUGGGCUAGCAUAAUGUGGUUCAAAUUCGCCUUUGGCGAUAAUCGAACCUAAAACUUAUCAUUUACAAGUAAAUAGGAAUACCACUAGAUGGAUCAUGAAAUUAGCAGUCUUAUAGGUAAAAAAAAAUUGAUCGACUAAAUGAUGUGUUAAAAAACAAGAUUAAUACUUGCAUCUCUCCACUUGAAAAAUGUAGAUAUUUCUGUGAACACGGAAAAUUCCUGAAACGAAAGAGACAAGAACAACGUGCACAAAAUAAUAUUUUGGUGUUAAUGGAUUUGUUGGGUUACGAUCUCUUUUAACUUGAUCCUCUGAUUCGAUCUCCGUAAGGUGUUGAUUUAUGGAUGUUUCGUUGAUCCAAGGGCUGUUGAGGCUUGAUCUUAGAUGAACUGUUGGAAGUUUCUUCAAGGGGCCGUGGGCUUGAUCUUUGAAGGUGGAUUUGAGCGGAUCUUCAAGGAGCCGUUGGGGCUUGAUCUUGAGGAUGAGUGUUUCUUCAAGGGCCGUUAAGGCUUGAUCUUGAAUAACGGUGAUGAACGGAUCUUCAAGGGCUUUUGGGCUUGAUCUUGAAGAACGGUUGGAUGUGUGGAUUUGUUGAUGUUGUUGAUCCAAGGGCCGUCGGAGCUUGAUCUUGGAAGAACGAUGAACGAAGAACGAAGAACACUUUCUUCAAAGGCCGUCGGGGCUUGAUCUUGAAUUGGUGAUUGUUGAUCCAAGGGCCGUCGGGGCUUGAUCUUGGAAGAACGAUGAACGAAGAACGAAGAACACUUUCUUCAAGGGCUGUCGGGGCUUGAUCUUGAAUUGGUGAUUGUUAAUCCAAGGGCCGUCGGGGCUUGAUCUUGAUUCUUCGGGAUGAACGGAUGAUGAACAAUGAACACUUUCUUCAAGGGCCGUCGGGGCUUGAUCUUGAAUUGGUGGAAGUUCUUCAAGGGCCUUUGGGGCUUGAUCUUGAAGGUGGAUGAUUGUUGAUCCAAGGGCCGUCGGGGCUUGAUCUUGGGAUGAACAGUUGUGUGGAUUUGUUGAACACUUUCUUCAAGGGCCGUCGAUGCUUGAUCUUGAAUUGGUGGAAGUUCUUCAAGGGCCGUUGGGGCUUGAUCUUGAAGGAGGAUUUGACGAAGAACGAAGAGGGCUUUCUUGAUCCUUCGGGAUUUGCUUGAAUUUGGGAGGUUGGAUGCUUGAAAGCUUUAGAGUUUCAAAGCUUCAAGGAUUUUGGAUGUGUGGGGAGUAUUCUCUUCCAUUUUGGGAGUAGAGAAAUGUAUUUGUGAAUUGGUUUUUGAUACCUUGAUGUAGAAGCCUAUUUAUAGGCUUUGAGAAUGAAUCACCACCACAAAAUAUUUUUUUUCUUUUCCAAGCACCAUUGCCUAAUUUCCCACUUAAUACAAUUUUAAACUUGAAGUGGUAAUUUUAUGGCCUAAUUUUCCACUUAAUAUCAUUUUAAACUUGAUAUGUGCAUGCUUUGUCAUUGCCCAAAAUGAGAAGAAAACCUUGUUUUGAUCUUCAAUGAAUUGAAAUGUGCUUGCCUUGUCAUUGCCCAAAAUGAGAAGAAAAACUUGUGUAAUCCUUCAAGGGUAUUUCUUUUUAUUUUGUUGAGUCGCACACCAUGUGUACAAUUUGUAUGACACGUGGCAUAUGCCAUGUACGCCUUGACACGUCAAAAUUUUAAUGCGUUGGUGAACAUUUAUUUCACCGCAAUUUCGGUGUCUACAAAUGCCCCCACUUCAAGGUGCGUCGUAUACAUGUGCUUGUCACGUGUAGGAGAUGCGUUUUGAAGUCCCUUACUGUAGAUGUCAAUCCAAUGGCCAUCGAGGCUUGAUCUUGAAUUGGGCUGGAGAUUUCUUCAAGGGCCGUUGAGGCUUGUUCUUGGACUUUGUUUGAAAUUUCUUCAAGGGCCAUCGAGGCUUGAUCUUGAAGGUUGAAAUUGGACCACAAGGAGCUUCAUGUGGUAGAUGAUCUUUGGCUUUGGUAGUGGAUGAAUCGGCACGUAUUUGUUUUUGCGCUUUGUUGACUUUCCACAGCUUUGAUCUUGAACUGGGUUGGAGGAUUUUUUGGAUUCCUCCAAUUGUUGAUUUUCCACAGUUUAUUCUUGAACUGGAUUUGAUUCAAAUAUGGUGGACGCUUGAUCUUGAAUCGGACUUGUGAUUUCCUCAAGGGCCGUCGAGGCUUGAUCUUGAAUUUGGCCGGAAACUUCUUCAAGGGCCGUUGAGGCUUGAUUCUUGAAGGUUGACUCGAACACAUGGCAAGCAGGCACGAGGUGAAGGUGACGACUUGUUGCUUUGUUCAAUCUUUCUAAUUCACACCUGAGCAGUUUGGUCAACGGUAUGAUCUUCAAGAUUGAUGGGCUCUUCUUCCAGUUGGUGAUUUGAUCUUUAAGGAUUUGAUUCAAGGGUGGUGAAACGGCACAUGCAGCCCACAACGCCUAGCAAGUCGACCCAAGAAUUUGAGGGUUAAAACGAGUCCUCCACCCAGAGUGAUUGCAAACCUGAUGAUAUGAGAUACUUUUGAUUUUGAAGAAGUAGCGGAUGAAUCGGCACGUGCUUUGUUGUGCUUGUCUCCACAUGCUUCAAUGUAUCAUUUUCCCUUGUCUUAUCUAUUCUUCUAGCAGAAUGUAGCAUCUUCUUAAGUUCUUCAACUCAGACUCCUUCUGCUGAGCUGACUGUGCAGGCUGCAUUAUUCUCUGCUUGUUUCUUUAGGCAGAUGUGGCAGCUUCUUGAGUUCCUCAGCUCGGACUCCUUCUGCUGAGCUGAUUGUGAAGACUGCAUUCUUAUCUGCUUGUUUCUUCUGUACGUUGUCUCCACAUGCUGCAAGGUAUCAUUUUCAAUUGCCUUAUUUGUUUUCCAGGCAAAUGUGGCAUCCGAGUUUGAGUGGAGGUUCUGGCAUAUUGUUUUCUUUAUCCUUGUCUUUGUAGGUAAGAACAAGGACAAAGGAAAGGACAGGGAGAACGCAUGAUAUGAUAUACUCUUGCUUUCUACCCUGGUGAUAUGAGAUACUUUUGCUUUGGUGUCAUUUGUUUGCAGAGGUACCCCAAGGAAUAAGAAACACUGAGUGACUCGAGAGGCUUUGUUGGGAAGGCAUUCUAGGAGAUGAAGAAAGGUUCUUGGAGAUGAAGAAAGGUUCUCGGAGAUGAAGAAAGGUUAUGUAUGUCUGCCUUGCUAUGGAGGGUAAAGGUGGACAGUUAUAGGAAAUUCUUUAGUACCUGUAGAGGUACUAUUCUUUUACUCGUGUCGGCAACCAAUGUGUGAUUGAUCAGUAUGGCUUCACGUGUUUUCUUCUUUAUCAGAAAUCUUCGACAAAUUGUCCGUAAUUUUCGUCAAGCUGAGUGUGCAUGUGACAGGUGUUGACGAGGCUGAAAAAGACUGGUGCCUCUUCGAUAUCUGGGAUCGGCGCUUCGACAAAUUGCCCGUGAUUUCCGCAAAGCUGAGUUUGCGCGUGACGGGUGCUGACGAGGCUGAAAAAGACUGGCGCCUCUUCGAUAUCUGGGAUUGGCGCUUUAACAAAUUGCCCAUGAUUUCUGCAAAGCUGAGUUUGCACGUGACGGGUGCUAACGCGUCUGGAAAAGCAAGAUGCUUCUCCGAUUUCUGAGCUUGCCUCUUUGAUUUUUGAAUUGGCCUCUUCGAAUUCUGAGCUCGCCUCUUCGAUCUUUGAAAUCCCAUCGAGUGUUGAUCUUUAUAGAGGCACGCAGUUCGUUUCAAAGCACACUUGAAUUUUCGCUUGUAGAAACUCCCUUCUUGCACUUCUAAGAUCUUGAUUUGUCCGACCUCUUCUUUCUUCAACACCUUUGAAAAUGUCUGGACCCUCCGACCGUCAUUUUGAUUUGAACCUUGGUGAAGAGGUAGUCCCGUCUUCUCCAGAUAACAUAUGACGCCCAUCUUUCAUAUCCCCUACUGGUCCUCUUACCGUUGGGGAUUCGGUGGUGAAGAAUGAUAUGACCGCUGCGGUGGUGGCCCGAAACCUUGUCACUCCCAGAGAUAACAGACUACUUUCCAAACGGUCUGAUGAGUUGGCUGUUAAGGAUUCUCUGGCUCUCAGUGUGCAGUGUGCAGGUUCUGUGUCUAAUAUGGCCCAACGCCUAUUUGCUCGAACCCGUCAAGUUGAAUCAUUGGCGGCUGAAGUGAUGAGUCUCAAACAGGAGAUAUUAGAGGGCUCAAGCAGAGAGAUAAACAGUUGCAUAAGCUCGCACAUAGCUAUGCGACAAACAUGAAGAGGAAGAUUAACCAGAUGCAGGAAUCUGAUGGUCAGAUUUUACUUGAUCAUCAGAGGUUUGUGGGUUUGUUCCAGCAGCAUUUGCCUUCGUCUUCUGGGGCUGUACCGCGUAAUGAAGCUCCAAAUGAUCAACCCUUGGCUCCUCUUCUUCCUGGAGUUCCGCCGAGUGGUGUGGCUUCAAACAGUCAACCUCCGACGCCUCUCAUUUCUGGAGCUCUGCUGAGUGGUGAGGUGGCACCUAAUCGUCCUUGAAGAUCCCCUCUUGUAAAUUUGAUUUGAUUUUUUUUUAAGUAUGUAUAAUGCAAAUUUAUGUAAAAUUUCCAGAAAAAAUAAAUAAAAACGGACUUUAUUUCUCUCAAUGCAUUUGUUUUGUUUUGUUUUUGUUUUUUUUGUUUUUUUGUUUUUGUUUUUUUUGUAAAUACAUAAUAACAUAUGUAUUUAUUUAUUUAUUCUUUUGUAAUAAAAUUGACUUUCUUUAAUAAAACUUUUAUAUUUUUCUUAUUUAUUUUGAUAUGACUGAACUCGAAAUUGAAUGUUCGAGCCGCCUACGUACCCUUCCAAAGAAGAGAUCAAGCCAUAACGUAGUUCAAAUGAGUGAUGAAUUUAAUAGUGAUUUUGAUGAUGAUUUUGCCGUACACAGUUUAUGCUCUUGUGGGCCAGGAGCUUUGGUGUUGCCUUUUAUGCUCGUGCAGACCAGGAGCGUUGAUGUCGCCUUUUAUGCUCGUGUGGGUCAGGAGCGUUGAUGUUGCCUUUUAUGCUCGUGCAGACCAGGAGCUUUGUGCCAUGCAGUUUAGACUCGUGCGGGCAAGGAGCUUUGGUUCGUGCAGUUUAGGCUCAUGCGAACAAGGAGCAUUGGUUCGUGCAGUUUAGGCUCGUGCGAACAAGGAGCAUUGGUGUUGCCUUUUAUGCUCGUGCAGACCAGGAGCUUUGUGCUAUGCAGUUUAGACUCGUGCGGGUGAGGAGAAUUUGUGAAUUUUGUCAAGCACUUUUGGAGAGGCGUUCCUUACAAUCUUCAUAGCAAGGAGCCUUGACCGAGUGAUUGAAGAAGUCUUCGGGAAAGAAGUCGCACAUCGUGAUGGCAACAGACGAUCUUUGUGUCGUAAUUUCAUCAUCUUCAACACGUUCACGUUGCUUUGAAGGUUGACAAGAGCUGCUUUGCCCCCUUUCCGAUUGGCGGACUUGUGGAGGAGACGUAUGCUUCUUGUGCCAUUUCUUAGGAGUGACUUGAGUCCAUCCUUCAAGUUUGCUUGUUUUGGAGGAUGCCCCCGGCGGUUGAGGUGAAAAUUUUGUGUUGAAAGAGCCAGAAGUGAUGGUGGUAUAGUUUGACUUCACCACAUCGUCAAGAUCUAGCUCGAUGAUUCCUUUCUGAGCCCACUUUAUGAUGAGAUCUUUCAGCACAAAGCACUUUUCUGUCGGAUGACUGAUGAAGCGGUGGAAUUUACAGUAUCUUGGACUGUUGGUACGAUUCAUCUCUUCCGGCCAUCUGCACUCAGGCAAACUGAUCACCUUCUUGUCCAACAGGUCAUCCAACAUGGCAACCACAUCAGAGUCAGGGAAUGGAUAAGUCUUCUCUUUAAGCUCCUUCAAAGUGCGUCUACGCAUCUCUUGAUCACGAAAAGCUUCGGUUUGAAUCGUUUUGCCUCGUGUGGAGAUUUUGACGGGAGAUGUGUUGACUGUCAUUGCUUCCUUGGUGGAUUUCCACGUAGCCUUCUCCACCUUUGUCUCAAGAAUUUUGUCGUUCUUGUAGUCGGCGAUCGGUUCCUUCUUCCCAUGAUGGGUGAUGCUCAACUCCAUGUCAUGGGCGUGGGUGGCCAAUUCCUCGAAGGUCCGUGGUUUAAUGCCUUGAAGGAUGUAUUGCAAACCUCAUUGCAUGCCUUGGAUGCACAUCUCGAUUGAAGAGGUCUCCGAGAGCCUAUCUUUGCAGUCGAGGCUUAGAGUGCGCCAUCUGUUGAUGUAGUCAAUGACCGGCUCAUCUUUCCAUUGCUUCAUACUUGUGAGCUCCAACAUGCUUACAGUGCGGCGGGUGUUGUAGAAGCGGUUGAGGAAUUCCCGCUCCAAUUGCUCCCAGCUGUUGAUGGACUCAGGCUCUAGGUCCGUGUACCACUCAAAUGCGUUUCUUUUCAGCGAGCGCAUAAACUGCUUGGCGAAGUAGUCCCCCUCCGUCCCCGCGUUGUUGCAAGUUUUGACGAAAUGUGCAACGUGCUGCUUUGGGUUUCCUUUUCCAUCAAACUGCAUGAACUUUGGUGGUUGAUAUCCCAUCGGCAUCUUUAGGGCAUCAAUCUUCUUUGAAUAAGGCUUUGAGUACAACCCGGAGGUAUUUGAGCUCCCUUCGUACUAUGCCUUGACGGUGCUGGCAAUCAUCUCUUGCAACUGUUGGAUAGAAAGAGAUCCCAUGAGUGCCGCUUCUUGGUCUGGCUCCGGCUUCACAUCGAUUUUCUCCACCGUAGGCUCAUCUUCUGGGUUAGGGUUCUCGCUGUCCUGUGGCUCCAGUUGACUGAUGAGUGCAGCGAUUUGCAAGUCUUUUUCUUCCACAGUUCGGGUUAGCCUUGCGAUUGCUUCAUUCAUUUGAGCCAGUUGUUCUUCGAUGGAGGUAACGCCGAUGGUCAUGACUUGUGCAACCAAUAGACGUGACUUUCCUUUAGACAUCCAAGAUGCUGAAGAAGAACGUCAUUGGUUGUUUUGGGAUGUCAUCUUGUGUGCCUCAGCAACAUGCUUUGGUGCCCCCAGCGAGGUCAGGUUGAUGACAGACUCACACCUUUGAUGCUCCCUUUGCUCUUUUAGCGGCACCAACUUUGAAGUGGCAUGUUAAGGAGCGGUUGUGGUGCUAAUGGAUUGUCCAUUUGCGGCAGAAGUGCUUAGGAUCCUUCCCUCAGUGAUUGCGAGAACGGCUUGUCCCUUGCUUGAUGCCAUUGAUUUUGAGGUGUGUUUGGAUUCCUUAAACGGAGAAAGAUAUGAGAGGUAGAGAUUGUCCCACCGGGCGUGCCAAUUUGUGAACACGAAAAUUUCCUGAAACGAAAGAGACAAGAACAACGUGCACAAAAUAAUAUUUUGGUGUUAAUGGAUUUGUUGGGUUACGAUCUCUUUUAACUUGAUCCUCUGAUUCGAUCUCCGUAAGGUGUUGAUUUAUGGAUGUUUCGUUGAUCUAAGGGCCGUCGAGGCUUGAUCUUGGAUGAACUGUUGGAAGUUUCUUCAAGGGGCCGUGGGCUUGAUCUUUGAAGGUGGAUUUGAGCGGAUCUUCAAGGAGCCGUUGGGGCUUGAUCUUGAGGAUGAGUGUUUCUUCAAGGGCCGUUAAGGCUUGAUCUUGAAUAACGGUGAUGAACGGAUCUUCAAGGGCUUUUGGGCUUGAUCUUGAAGAACGGUUGGAUGUGUGGAUUUGUUGAUGUUGUUGAUCCAAGGGCCGUCGGGGCUUGAUCUUGGAAGAACGAUGAACGAAGAACGAAGAACACUUUCUUCAAAGGCCGUCGGGGCUUGAUCUUGAAUUGGUGAUUGUUGAUCCAAGGGCCGUCGGGGCUUGAUCUUGGAAGAACGGUGAACGAAGAAUGAAGAACGAAGAACACUUUCUUCAAGGGCCGUCGGGGCUUGAUCUUGAAUUGGUGAUUGUUAAUCAAAGGGCCGUCGGGGCUUGAUCUUGGAAGAACGAUGAACGAAGAACGAAGAAGGCUUUCUUGAUUCUUCGGGAUGAACGGAUGAUGAACAAUGAACACUUUCUUCAAGGGCCAUCGGGGCUUGAUCUUGAAUUGGUGGAAGUUCUUCAGGGCCUUUGGGGCUUGAUCUUGAAGGUGGAUGAUUGUUGAUCCAAGGGCCGUCGGGGCUUGAUCUUGGGAUGAACAGUUGUGUGGAUUUGUUGAACACUUUCUUCAAGGGCCGUCGAUGCUUGAUCUUGAAUUGGUGGAAGUUCGUCAAGGGCCGUUGGGGCUUGAUCUUGAAGAAGGAUUUGACGAAGAACGAAGAGAGCUUUCUUGAUCCUUCGGAAUUUGCUUGAAUUUGGGAGGUUGGAUGCUUGAAAGCUUUAGAGUUUCAAAGCUUCAAGGAUUUUGGAUGUGUGGGGAGUAUUCUCUUACAUUUUGGGAGUAGAGAAAUGUAUUUGUGAAUUGGUUUUUGAUACCUUGAUGUAGAAGCCUAUUUAUAGGCUUUGAGAAUGAAUCACCACCACAAAAUAUUUUUUUCUUUUCCAAGCACCAUUGCCUAAUUUCCCACUUAAUACAAUUUUAAACUUGAAGUGGUAAUUUUAUGGCCUAAUUUUCCACUUAAUAUCAUUUUAAACUUGAUAUGUGCAUGCUUUGUCAUUGCCCAAAAUGAGAAGAAAACCUUGUUUUGAUCUUCAAUGGAUUGAAAUGUGCUUUGCCUUGUCAUUGCCCAAAAUGAGAAGAAAAACUUGUGUAAUCCUCCAAGGGUAUUUCUUUUUAUUUUGUUGAGUCACACACCAUGUGUACAAUUUGUAUGACACGUGGCAUAUGCCAUAUAUGCCUUGACACGUCAAAAUUUUAAUGCGUUGGUGAACAUUUAUUUCACCGCAAUUUCGAUGUCUACAAUUUCAUUUCUUGUGAAUAAUGUUUAUCCUGUGUUCUGUCCAAUCGCGUAUUAAAAAAUGUGUGAAGUUUGGAUUAACCACACUCUUUUAGAAUUUCCUUUAUUUACCACUUUUUGAGAAUUUCCAAUAAGACUGGGUGAGUCUCCGCUGAGAAUUUCCUCAACUAACACCACACUACUUGAGGGAUAAUUUGUUAUAUCUUUGAAUAAAGAAUAAAACAGUUUCCUACUUUUGAAGGUACUAUUAACUUACACUAUAUUUGGAUGAAGGUCAAACUUUAUAAAUUGACAUACACCAAAUUCUUUGUUUGGAUUCAUAAACAUAUAAAUUUAGAAUUUCCGCGUGGAAAAAAAAAAUACUUAGAAUUUGAGACCUCCAAUUCUCAAAUUGAAAGUUUAAAAAUAAUAAAUUCCGUAUUCAAUUCAAUUGUUCUUUUAGGUUAACCAAAUAAGAAAAUUCACAAAUUCUAAAAUAUAAAAUCUCAUCAUUUCAAUUUCCGUCAUUUUAAAAUUCCUUAGUAAUAUUAAAUUUCUUCAUCCAAACAUAGUGUUAAGAAAUUUUUUAAAGAUACACUAUUUACACUCAUUUUUAUUUCUUACACAUUUAUUAACUUUGUCCAUUGAUUUCUUCAAUUCAUUUUGCCAGUUAUACAAAAAUUGAGAACAGUAUUUAUGAAUUAAAAAUACAUUUGUAGAUGUCACUACCAAAUUUUUAUUCCUAAUUCAAGAAAAUCUUAUCCAUAUAUGAUUGCCCUUGCCCACUUUAAAUGGGUGCCAUCACUUUACGAUAGAGCAAUCCUAACCGUCCACCUAGGUAAGCAUAACUGGCGAUGCAUGUCGCAAGGGGACCGCAUUGCACAAUAUAAUUAUACUAGUUGAUAAGACAAGUGAUGUCAAUCAAUAAAUUAUUUCAUUAAAACUUAGUUGUAUGUAUCAUAUGUUGUAAUGUAGGGUGUAUGAUAUGCUGACGCUGUAAAAAAAUGUAACCUUUUUAAUAUUACUCAUAAUAGUAAGACUUACCAGUAUUAGGAUGUUAUCAGUGGAAUGAGAAUCCUCUCCAGAUCUUUUUUGUGAGCUAUUAUUUGUAUUUAAUUUUAAAUAUAAAAAAUUAAAAUAAUUUAUGACGGCAGUGAUUCACAUGAUCUUCACAAAGAGAAUCCAAAUAAUCUUAAUUUAUAUCAGUGUGUCUAGAUAACAUGAUCGAGCCCCUUUACUUUUACCCUAUUUAGUAUUUUACAUUUGAACCUGUAAAUAUUCGAUUUUUCUUUGGUGCAACCGAGCACCAAAUAUAGAUUUUUUUUCACUUUUAUAUAAUGAUAAAUAAAGGGCAAUUGGCAGAUUUGAAUUCCAUUCGGAUUGGUCAAAAAUCAUUUUAAAUUGUUUUAUUUAAAAUUAAACACAUAUAGUACUUAAUAAAAAUUAGUCGUACAAUAUACGAUAAACAGAUAUAAUGUAAGGACCUUUAUGAUCUUCACAAAAAAGAUCCAAAGGUUGUGUAGCUGUUUCAAAAGGAUAAUACUCACUUUUGAUUAGUUCAAUGAAAUUUUAAACAUGUUUUAUUGUUUUAAAAAAUAAUAAACAUAUUUAUUAAUGUUUGUUUUACUUUAAAAAAUAAGCAGCACUUGACAACAUUUGAUUGUGCUAAAUAAAAAAUGAGUGACCACUUAGUACUACAGUCUUAUGAUAUUUUUCUUCAUUUGAAAGUGAGAGGUUUUAAGUUCGAAUCUCGUGGAUGACGAAUUUGAUAUCAAAUUAGAUUGCUCACUAUGUGGCUUAGCCGAACUCUCAUUUCCUUUAAUGUAAAAAUAUUGAUGUAUUCAAAAAAAUAAAAAGUGACUAUAGAGGACACUCAAUCUCAGCUGUAUGAUUAAAUCAGACGGUAAGAAAAAUUCUGCAAGCAUACUCGGUUACAUUAAUUGAAGAAAAAAUGGGUAAAUAUUGGGCACCAACGUUAUAAAUACCCUCCACCAUGCACCCAACUCCCUCACACCAUCACAACCCACGUUACAAAUCCUCCUCCUCAUCAUAACCAUUCUGUUUUCCGCAUAAUAUCCAAAAACCUAUCAUGUCUGAAGAGAAACACCACCGCGGUCUCUUCCACCACCACAAGGAUGAAGACAAACCCUCAGACUACCCUCAGUCUGGCUACUCUGAUGAAGGACGUCCCGGCGGCCUCGGUGGUGGUUACGGCGACACCAAUGAUUAUUCUGGUGAAGGACGUACCGGCGGCCUAGGUGGUGGCUAUGGCGACACCAAUGCUUAUUCUGGUGAAGGACGUCCCGGCGGCUAUGGCGGCUAUAACGAGACCACUGCUUACUCUGAGGAAAGAGUUGAAAGACCCGGCGGUGGCCGGUACAGUGAGACUACUGCGGCAUAUGGCAGCACCACCACUCAUGAAUCUGAACUUGAUUACAAGAAGGAGGAGAAGCACCACAAGCAU